CCCGGGGUGGGUUGCCCCCCCCCGGUGAACUCCCGGAACCCAUUCAUCAUUUUCGGUACAUUCCCGGUAACUCCGAAAACCUUCCGGUAAUCAAAUGAGGUNNNNNNNNNNNNNNNNNNNNNNNNNNNNNNNNNNNNNNNNNNNNNNNNNNNNNNNNNNNNNNNNNNNNNNNNNNNNNNNNNNNNNNNNNNNNNNNNNNNNCAUUUCAUCUUGGUCUAGAUGUAGGCAUGGACAUAGGGGGAGUGUUGUUCUCUCAAUGAACUCUCCCUCCCCCCAUUAUGCGUAAAUCAAUCUAGUCUUUCACUUUAGCCAUUGACAAAUGGCACUUGUGCUUCAAAGACGAGCAUUGGUCAUGAACCCAAGGAUAAUUCUUCGCGGUGUCAUACCAUUGUCUCAAACAUAGGUGGCCUCGGCCACCGCCCCUCCAUCCUCUCUUGCGUAUAAAGGAGAGGAUAUACAAUGACAAGUCAGUACAUUUUCUUGGAUGUGAUUCCUUUUUACUCACUUGUCAUGUGCCCAAGUUUCCCUUUUUCCUUAGCCGUGUUGAAACAUGUACAGCGGUACUACCGCCACGGUAGCGGUACUACCGCCAGGACCCCAGCGGUACUACCGCCAGGGGUAGCGGUACUACCGCCAGGACCCCAGCGGUACUACCGCCAGGUAUGGCAGUACUACCGCCAGGAUUCAAAAUCUAACACGACCGGCUAGAAAAUUUCUAGGGUUUCAAGGGGGAGCGGUACUACCGCCUGGGGGAGCGGUACCACCGCCAGGACCCCAGCGGUACUACCGCUGCAUCUGGCGGUACUACCGCCAGGACCCCAGCGGUACUACCGCCAGGACCCCAGCGGUACUACCGCUGGCCCGUACCCCUUGGGCUAUAUAAAGGGAGGGGGAGCCCGAUUUUUGCAUCUGUUUCUUCUUCCUCGCGGCUCCUCCCUCCCCUAGCCCGAAACCCCCCUGUUUGGAUCUCACUUCGUGGAGCUCCUUCUCCGCGUUGGUGUAGAAGGGUUGCUUCAUCUCUUCUUCCUACUCCAAGAGCCAUGAAUCCCGGUAAAGCUCCUCCCUUCUUCUAUUUGGUUGUUCUUCGUGUUCUAGGGUUAGGAGCAUUGGGGAUUGGAUUCAUCCUGUUGAUCCUAUGGCUAGUUAUUGGAUGGCAUGUAGGAAAUAUUUGAGGGGGGUAUAGGUCCGAUGGUUUGUUGUUGUGAUUGCUGCCAUGCUCUAGGAUUUCAUCGUCUUAGAUCGAAUACUUGAACUCUUGGAUUAGAUCUAAAACGUGCUCUCUCUUGCCUAGGCAUUUUUGUACCUCUUGUUACUAUGUGUUCCUCAUGACAGGAGGGCUGGGGUGUACGUCUUAGUGUUCAUGUUCAGUCCUUGCCCUCGANNNNNNNNNNNNNNNNNNNNNNNNNNNNNNNNNNNNNNNNNNNNNNNNNNNNNNNNNNNNNNNNNNNNNNNNNNNNNNNNNNNNNNNNNNNNNNNNNNNNAGUUGGGAGCAAGUUUUUGUGUUUGUGCAGGAUCUUGAGAUACUCCUCCACUGGAUUGAUACCUUGGUUCUCAAAUUGAGGGAAAUACUUACCACCGCUACGCUACAUCACCCUUUCUGCUUCGAGGGAACACCAAUGCAAGGCUCUAAGGCCACGGGGGGAAAUCCUUUGCAUACUUGCCUAGGAAGUCCCUUAAGGCGUAGCCGCAGCAAAAAGAUCAAGCCAAGUAUUCUCCCGUCGACGUGCCUAUUUUUGGCACCAUUGGAAGGUCUUUUGUUGCAGUAGCAGAAGUAUUUCUGGCGCCAUUGCUGGGGAGGAGAUAUCAAGAUCUAUCCAAGUAGGUCUCACAAACUCUUCUCUUGCAUUUACUUUUGUUGCCAGUUGCCUCUCUUUUUCCUCUCCCCCACUUCACAUUUGCCGUUUUCAUUCGCCUUUCGCCUUCGCCGUUUUCUUUUGCCUUUGCCGUUCCCUUUCGCUCGUCCGCUCUUAGGUUUGUUCGUGAGAGACCUUUCCUCAUGGCCAAACCAAACUAUUUCAAAAAAUUGGAAGAGAUUGAAACUAAUGNNNNNNNNNNGAAGUAUUCUCCCGUCGACGUGCCUAUUUCUGGCACCGUUGGAAGGUCUUUUGUUGCAGUAGCAGAAGUAUUUCUGGCGCCGUUGCCGGGGAGGAGAUAUCAAGAUCUAUCCAAGUAGGUCUCACAAACUCUUCUCUUGCAUUUACUUUUGUUGCCAGUUGCCUCUCGUUUUCCUCUCCCCCACUUCACAUUUUCCGUUUUCAUUCGACUUUCGCCUUCGUCGUUUUCUUUUGCCUUUGCCGUUCCCUUUCGCUCAUCCGCUCUUAGGUUUGUUCGUGAGAGACCUUUCCUCGUGGCCAAACCAAACUAUUUCAAAAAAUUGGAAGAGAUUGAAACUAAUGCCAAAAGUUUCAUGUCUUCGUAGUUUGACCAAAAUAGUUACUUCCGUAGGGAAUUAAAAGAGCAAAAUUCCUUUUUGGUUUGUUUGAAUAAAGAGGUUGAUGAUAUGGCCAAUGAUUUCCUUGCACUUAGUUCUCAGUUUGCUCACCUUGAAAAAUUGGUGGGCCAAAUUUCUGACAAGCAGGCUACCUUAGUCAAUAAGAUGGCAGCUAAACCUGAAAUUUGUGAUGCAAAUCACGAAGAUCUUAAAGUUCUUGGUGUGUCUCCUCUUGAAUCUUUGUUUUCGCGUGUCAAACCUACUUAUGGAGGGGCUGGAUAUGAAUCCACUUUUGUUGAAAAACGACCCAAUGAUUUGGAGUCCACCUAUCUUGAUGAUAAAGGUGUGGAGAGUGGAGUAGAAGAAGUCAAAAUUUUGGGUAGUAAUAAAACUCCCACUUUGGAUUUCAAGGAAUUCAAUUAUGAUAAUUGCUCCUUGCUUGAAUGCAUUUCUUUUAUGCAAUCCAUUGCAAACUCUCCACAUGCUUAUAGCAAAAGCAAAGCCUUUACCGCGCAUAUCGUAGAUGCCAUGAUGAAAUCUCUUGAAGAGAAGCUCGAACUAGAAGUCUCUAUACCUAGAAAACUUCAUGAUGAAUGGGAACCUACUAUCAAAAUCAAGAUAAAAAACUAUGAGUGCAAUGCUUUGUGUGAUUUGGGUGCUAGUGUUUCCGCGAUUCCAAAGUCUUUAUGUGAUAUUCUUGGUUUUCAUGAGAUUGAAGAGUGUUCUCUUAAUUUGCAUCUUGCGGGUUAUACUAUCAAGAAACCCAUGGGGAGGAUUGAUGAUGUUCUUAUUGUUGCAAAUAAGAACUAUGUACCCGUGGAUUUCAUUGUACUUGACAUAGAUUGCAAUCCUUCAUGUCCCAUUAUUCUUGGUAGACCUUUCCUAAGGACUAUUGGUGCUAUCAUCGAUAUGAAGGAAGGGAAUAUUAGAUUUCAAUUUCCUUUAAAGAAGGGCAUGGAGGACUUUACUAGAAAGAAAAUAAGAUUGCCUUAUGAAUCUAUGAUGAGGGCUACCUAUGGUUUGAGCACCAAAGAUGACUAUACGUGAUUCCAUCACUUUCGCCUAGCAAAGGGCGUUAAACAAAAGCGCUUGUUGGGAGGCAACCCAAUGAAUCUAUCCUUUUUCUUUCUCUUUUGUGUUUUUCACACUUUCAUAAUUCUGUUAUGAUUGUGUUUUUUGUGUUUCUUUUUUGCGUUUGUGCCAAGCAAAACCGUUAUGAUUAGUCUUGGGGAUGAUCGUUUGGUCAUGCUGGAAAAGACAGAAACUUUCAGCUCACGAAAAGAAUUUUCUUGUUUUUUCUGUAAGAUCUUUUGAGUUGAUUCUUUUUGCUUCUGAUUGCUACGCAAAUUAUUCAGACUAUCAUAAUUUUUAAGAAUUUGUGAAGUACCAUAGGUAUACGAAAUAUACAGAUUGCUACAGACUGGUCUGCUGUUAACAGAUUCUGUUUUUGUUGUGUUGGUUGCUUAUCUUGAUGAAACUAUGGAUAGUAUCGGGGGGUAUUAGCCAUGGAAGAUUGAAAGUACAGUAACCCNNNNNNNNNNGUUUUUUCUGCUGAUUGCUACGCAAAUUCUUCAGACUGUCGUAAUUUUUCAGAAUUUUGGAAGUACCAUAGGUAUACGAAAUAUACAGAUUGCUACAGACUGGUCUGCUAUUAACAUAUUCUGUUUUUGUUGUGUUGGUUGCUUAUUUUGAUGAAACUAUGAAUAGUAUCGGGGGGUAUUAGCCAUGGAAGAUUGAAAGUACAGUAACCCAACAUCAGCACAAGUAGAAUUUAAGUUUGCUACACUACCUAAGGAAGUGGUGGUUUGCUUUCUUGUACUAAUGUUAUCACAAGUUUCUGUUUAAGUUUCGUGUUGUGAAGUUUUCAAGUUUUGGGUGAAGUUCUUAUGGACAAAGAGAUAAAGAGUGGCAAGAUCUCAAGCUUGGGUAUGCCCAAGGCACCCCAAGAUAUUCAAGGAUGCCGUAAAUGCCUAAGCUUGGGGAUGCCCCGGGAAGGCAUCCCCUCUCUCGUCUUCAAUCUAUCGGUAACGUUACUUGGGGCUAUAUUUUUAUUCACCACAUGUUAUGUGUUUNNNNNNNNNNUGCAAGAGCUCAAGCUUGGGGAUGCCCAAGGCACCCCAAGAUAUUCAAGGAUGCCGUAAAAUCCUAAGCUUGGGGAUGCCCCGAGAAGGCAUCCCCUCUCUCGUCUUCAAUCCAUCANNNNNNNNNNNNNNNNNNNNNNNNNNNNNNNNNNNNNNNNNNNNNNNNNNNNNNNNNNNNNNNNNNNNNNNNNNNNNNNNNNNNNNNNNNNNNNNNNNNNAAGUGCUAGUUCCUGUUUUUUCCGUGUUUUUGACUCUUUUUAGAUCUGAUUUUGGUACGGAGUCCAAACGGAAGAAAAACCCCGAAAUGAUUUUUCCCGAACGGAAGAAGAUCAGGGGGCCUUUGGGCCAAGCCAGGUGGGCUCCAGGGAGCCCACAAGCCCCCACUCCGCCACCAGGGGGAGGCGGCGGUGGGCAGGCUUGUGGCCUCCCGGGCCGCCCCCUGACCUAGAUCUUUGUCCUAUAAAUUCCCAAAUAUUCCGCAAAAAAUCAGGGGAGCCUCGAAAAUACUUUUCCACCGCCGCAAACUUCCGUUUCCGCGAGAUCUCAUCUGGAGACCCUUCCUGGCACCCUGCCGGAGGGGACUUUGGAGUUGGAGGGCUUCAUCAUCAUCAUCAUCGCCCCUCCAAUGACUCGUGAGUAGUUCACUUCAGACCUACGGGUCCGUAGUUAGUAGCUAGAUGGCUUCUUCUCUCUCUUGGAUCUUCAAUACAAAGUUCUCCAUGAUCUUCAUGGAGAUCUAUCCGAUGUAAUCUUCUUUGGCGGUGUGUUUGUCGAGAUCCAUGAAUUGUGGAUUGGUGAUCAGAUUAUCUCUGAUAUAUAUUUGAGUCUUUGCUGAUUUCUUAUAUGCAUGAUUUGAUANNNNNNNNNNUUCUUUGCUGAUUUAUUAUAUGCAUGAUUUGAUAUCCUUGUAAGUCUCUCCGAGUCUUGGGUUNNNNNNNNNNAUCCGAUAAAUUGUGGAUUUGUGAUCAGAUUAUCUAUGAUAUAUAUUUGAGUCUUUGCUGAUUUCUUAUAUGCAUGAUUUGAUANNNNNNNNNNGGUUUUGCUGAUUUCUUAUAUGCAUGAUUUGAUAUCCUUGUAAGUCUAUCCGAGUCUUGGGUUUUGUUUGGCCAACUAGAUCUAUGAUUCUUGCAAUGGGAGAAGUGCUUGGUUUUGGGUUCUGCCAUGUGGUGACCUUUCCCAGUGACAGUAGGGGCAGCAAGGCACACAUCAAGUAGUUGCCAUCAAGGGUAAAAAGAUGGGGUUUUUNNNNNNNNNNNNNNNNNNNNNNNNNNNNNNNNNNNNNNNNNNUAAGGCGUUACUCUAUUAUUAUGGACUUAAUACACUAGAUGCAUGCUGGAUAGCGGUCGACGUGUGGAGUAAUAGUAGUAGAUGCAGACAGUAUCGUUCUACUUGUUUUGGACGUGAUGCCUAUAGAAAUAAUCAUUGCAUAGAUAUCAUCACGACUUUUUGCGGUUCUAUCAAUGCUACAUCACCCUUUCUGCUUCGAGGGAACACCAAUGCAAGGCUCCAAGGCCAUGGGGGAAAUCCUUUGCAUACUUGCCUAGGAAGUCCCUUAAGGCGUAGCNNNNNNNNNNCGGACGUGAUGCCUAUAGAAAUAAUCAUUGCAUAGAUAUCGUCGUGACUUUGCGCGGUUCUAUCAAUUGCUCGACAGUAAUUUGUUCAUCCACCGUCUACUUGCUUUCAUGAGAGAAGCCACUAGUAAACACAACGGCCCCCGGGUCUAUUCACAUCCAUCGUUUACAUCUCCGCUUUUACUUUGCUUUGUUACUUUGUUGCUUUCAGUUNNNNNNNNNNNNNNNNNNNNNNNNNNNNNNNNNNNNNNNNNNNNNNNNNNNNNNNNNNNNNNNNNNNNNNNNNNNNNNNNNNNNNNNNNNNNNNNNNNNNCCUAGGUCCUUCAUAGAGAAACUUUUAUUCAAGUAACCUUUUAUGCUCUCCAAAAGCUCUACGUUGUUUCCAAUCAGCAAUAUGUCAUCCACAUAUAAUAUUAGAAACGCCAUAGAGCUCCCACUCACUUUCUUGUAAAUACAAGAUUCUCCAACCACUUGUAUAAACCCAAAUGCUUUAAUCACCUCAUCAAAGCGCUUGUUCCAACUCCGAGAUGCUUGCGCCAGUCCAUAAAUGGAUCGCUGGAGCUUGCACACCUUGUCAGCAUUUUUAGGAUCGACAAAACCUUCGGUUGCAUCAUAUACAACUCUUCCUUAAGGAAACCAUUAAGGAAUGCCGUUUUGACAUCCAUCUGCCAGAUUUCAUAAUCGAAAAAUGCAGCUAUUGCUAACAUGAUUCUGACGGACUUAAGCAUCGCUACGGGUGAGAAGGUCUCAUCGUAGUCAACUCCUGGAACUUGUGAAAAACCCCUUGCCACAAGUCGAGCUUUAUAAACGGUCACAUUACCGUCAGCGUCCGNNNNNNNNNNAAUCGAAAAAACCUUCGGGUUGCAUCAUAUACAACUCUUCCUUAAGGAAACCGUUAAGGAACGCCGUUUUGACAUCCAUCUGCCAGAUUUCAUAAUCGAAAAAUGCAGCUAUUGCUAACAUGAUUCUUACGGACUUAAGCAUCGCUACGGGAGAGAAAGUCUCAUCGUAGUCAAUUCCUGGAACUUGUGAAAAACCCUUUGCCACAAGUCGAGCUUUAUAAACGGUCACAUUACCGUCAGCGUCCGNNNNNNNNNNNNNNNNNNNNNNNNNNNNNNNNNNNNNNNNNNNNNNNNNNNNNNNNNNNNNNNNNNNNNNNNNNNNNNNNNNNNNNNNNNNNNNNNNNNNGCAAUAAACAAGAUCCAGAUAUAAUGUUCAUGCUCAACGCACGCACUAAAUAACAAUGAUUUAAGUUCAUCACUAAUCCCGAUGGUAGUUGAAGUGACACUGCACCGACGGCGAUUGCAUCAACCUUGGAACCGUUUCCUACGCGCAUCGUCACUUCGUCUUUCGUCAGCCUUCGUCUAUUCCGCAGUUCCUGCUUCGAGUUGCAAAUGUGAGCAACAGAACCGGUAUCGAAUACCCAGGCACUACUACGAGAGCCGGUUAAGUACACAUCAAUAACAUGUAUAUCAAAUAUACCUGAUUUUUCUUUGCCCGCCUUCUUAUCUGCCAGAUACUUGGGGCAAUUGCGCUUCCAGUGACCCAUACCCUUGCAAUAGAAGCACUCUGUUUCAGGCUUAGGUCCAGCCAUGGGUUUCUUCGGCGGAUUGGCAACAGGCUUGCCGCUCUUCUUCGAAUUGCCCUUCUUGCCUUUGCUGUUUCUCUUGAAACUAGUGGUCUUGCUCACCAUCAACACUUGAUGCUCUUUUCGGAGUUCUGACUCUCCGACUUUCAGCAUCGCAAACAACUCGCCGGGAGACUUGUUCAUCCCUUGCAUGUUGUAGUUCAACACAAAGCCUUUAAAGCUUGGCGGCAGUGAUUGGAGGAUUCUGUUAGUGAUAGCUUCUUGCGGGAGUUCAAUCCCCAGUUCAGCUAGACGGUUUGAGUACCCAGACAUUUUGAGCACAUGUUCACUGACAGACGAGUUUUCCUCCAUCUUGCAAGCAUAGAAUUUAUCGGAGGUCUCAUACCUCUCGAUCCGGGCGUUCUUCUGAAAGAUAAACUUCAACUCCUGGAACAUCUCAAAUGCUCCAUGACGCUCAAAGCGACGUUGAAGUCCCGGCUCUAAGCCAUACAAGACUGCACAUUGAACUAUUGAGUAGUCCUCCUUACGUGCUAACCAAGCGUUCUUAACAUCCUGAUCAGCCGUAGCGGGUGGUUCAUCUCCUAGCGCAGCAUUAUGGACAUAAUCCUUCUUUCCAGCUUGUAAGAUUAGCUUAAGAUUACGAGCCCAGUCUACAAAGUUGCUUCCAUCAUCUUUCAACUUAGCUUUCUCUAGGAACGUAUUAAAAUUCAGGAUGACACUUGCGUGAGCCAUGAUCUACAACACAAAUAUAUUCAAAAUGGACUUAGACUAUGUUCAAGAUAAUUAGAGUUCAACUUAAUCAAAUUAUAUGCUAAACUCCCACUCAAAAAGUACAUCUCUCUAGUCAUUUGAGUGGUUCAUGAUCCACUUACACUAUCCCAAGUCCGAUCAUCANNNNNNNNNNNNNNNNNNNNNNNNNNNNNNNNNNNNNNNNNNNNNNNNNNNNNNNNNNNNNNNNNNNNNNNNNNNNNNNNNNNNNNNNNNNNNNNNNNNNCAUUGGUUUGAGUUUAUCCCUCUACAUCAUGUCAUCUUGCUUAAGGCGUUACUCUGUUCGUCAUGAACUCAAUACACUAGAUGCAUGCUGGAUAGAGGUCGAUGUGUGGAGUAAUAGUAGUAGAUGCAGAAAGUAUCGAUCUACUUGUCUCGGACGUGAUGCCUAUAUGUAUGAUCAUUGCCUUAGAUAUCGUCAUGACUUUGCGCGGUUAUAUCAAUUGCUCGACAGUAAUUUGUUCAUCCAUUGUAUUAUUUGCUAUUUUGAGAGAAGCCUCUAGUGAACACUAUGGCCCCCGGGUCUACUUCACACCAUAUUUUCAGCCUUACACUUUUACUUCGUUGCACUUUCCUCCUUCAGAUCUCACUUUGCAAUCAAUCUUGAAGGGAUUGACAACCCCUUUAUAGCAUUGGGUGCAAGCUCUUUUGUGUUUGCGCAGGUAAUCUGGACUUGACGCGAUUCUCCUACUGGAUUGAUACCUUGGUUCUCAAACUGAGGGAAAUACUUACUGCUCAUGUGCUGCAUCACCCUUUCCUCUUCAAGGGAAAAACCAACGCAAGCCCAGUCUCCGUCAACGUGCCAAUCUCUGGCGCUGUUGUCUGUUGCCGUAGCACCCCCUCCAGGGGGACUGGGCGAGCUGUUCAGUUUCGGGUCUACUGAGCGGCCUCGAAGUGCAAGGAUACCUUCCUGCUUCAGAUCUAACAUCCACCUGCCCCGGAUUAACUUCCACGAACGGUGAGGCCCUUGCAGAGAACUUCCCAACUCCUUGCAAGGAAGAGAGGGUAUGCUUCGUUCCCAUCCUCUUAUGAGGUUUAGGCUUCCCAUUCACCCCUUCUUAAUGGGCCUGCUAGAGUUUUACGGGAUCUAGCUUCAUCAUCUUACUCCUGGAUCCAUUCUUCAUAUUUAUGGCUAUGUUGCCCUUUGCGAGAUGUUCUUAGGAUGCGGGACCCAUUUUGAACCGGGGAGGAAAAAUUUCUGCCUUGUCCCUCGCACACGAGGAGGGAAUGUUUUUUAGGUAGGCGGAGCCGAAGUGUGGCGCAUAGGUGGGACGGGGUAUCCUAUUGGGACUCCAAAGAAGGAUUCCGAAGAAUGGACCUUAGAGUGGUUUUAUAUCAAGGAUGUCCCCCUAUUUGAUCCAUCUUGGAGGGGUCUACCCGAAUAUUCAAAUGUUCCUUGAUGUCUACUACACAACUUUAUUAUUGUAGACUACGUUGGGCCUCCAAGUGUAGAGUUUUGUAGGACAGUAGCAAUUUCCCCUCAAGUGGAUGACCUAAGGUUUAUCAAUCCAUGGAAGGUGUAGGAUGAAGAUGGUCUCUCUCAAACAACCGUGCAAUCAAAUACAAAAAAUAUCUAGUGUCCCCAACACACCCAAUACAAUGGAAAAUUGUAUAGGUGCACUAGUUCGGUGAAGAGAUGGUGAUACAAGUGUAAUAUGGAUAGUAGAUAUAGGUUUUUGUAAUCUUAAAAUAUAAGAACAACGAGGUAGCAUGUUUAAAACAAUGAGAAAAACAUUGUAUAAAUGCUUGGUAAUAGGGCCUAGGGUUCGUACUUUCACUAGUGCAAUCUCUCAACAAUGUUAACAUAGUAGAAUCAUAUGAUCAUCCCUCAACGUGCAACAAAGAGUCACUCCAAAGUUCCUAUAUAAUGGAGAACAAUAAGAUGAAAUUGAUGUAGGUAAUAGAACCAUCUCAUAGUAUUCAUGCCAUGUUUACAAUAGUUAUAUAUGAUUUUAGUACGACUUUUUUAGAACUAACUCGGACUGACGUUGUUUUCAGCAAAACUACCAUGGUGUCAUUUUUUGUGCAAAAAUAAAGUUCUCGGAAUGGGCUGAAAAUUUACGGUGAUUUUUAUGGACCAAAAGAGACCCCCGAAGCACCAGAGCUGGGCCAGGAAGUGGAUGAGGAAGCCACAAGCCUACUGGACGCGGCCACCCCCUAGGUCGCGCCCCCUGGCUUGUGACUUCCUCGGGGAACCUUCCGAAUGUGAGACCGACGCCAAAAGUUCCUAUAAAUACCAAAAACCCAAGAAAGAAACCUAGAUCGGGAGUUUCGCCGCCGCAAGCCUCCAGAGCCAUGAAAAAACAAUCUUGGCCCUCUCCGACACCCUGCUGGAGGGGGUCAUCUUCAUCGGAGGCCAUCUUCAUCAUCCCGACGAUCUCCAUAAUUGCCAUGGAGGCCACUCAAGGGGGAGACCAUGGAGGAGGAAGCACAAGGGGGAAAACCUUUCUCUCUCUCUCUUGGUGGCGCCGGAGUGGCAUCGGGGGAACCAUCGCCGUGAUGAUCGUCUUCACCAACAUCACCUUUUUCAUCACCAUCAUCAUCUCCUUUCAGCGGUCCACUCUCACGCACCUCACUGUAAUCCCCUACUCGAACAUGGUGCUUUAUGCCGCAUAUUAUGAUUUAGUGAUGUGUUGCCAUCCUAUGAUGUUUGAGUAGAUUUAUUUUGUCCUUUGGGUUGAUUGAUGAUCUAGAUUGGUGUGAGUUCUAUAUUUAUUUUGGUGUUGUCGUAUGGUGCCUUCCAUGAUGCGCACACGUGAAAGAUUCCUGUUGUAGGGUGUUGCAAUGCGUUCAUGAUUCGCUUAUAGUGGGUUGCUUGAGUGACAGAAGCACAAACCCGAGUAAGGGGGUUGUUGCAUAUGGGAUAAAGGGGACUUGAUACUUUAAUGGUAUGGUUGGGUUUUACCUUAAUGAUCUUUAGUAGUUGCGGAUGCUUGCUAGAGUUCCAAUCAUAAGUGCAUAUGAUCCAAGUAGAUAAAAUAUGUUAGCUUAUGCCUCUCCCUCAUAUAAAAUUGCAAUAAUGAUUACCGAUCUUGUUAACAAUUGCCUAGGACAAUUCCGCACANNNNNNNNNNNNNNNNNNNNNNNNNNNNNNNNNNNNNNNNNNNNNNNNNNNNNNNNNNNNNNNNNNNNNNNNNNNNNNNNNNNNNNNNNNNNNNNNNNNNNNNNNNNNNNNNNNNNNNNNNNNNNNNNNNNNNNNNNNNNNNNNNNNNNNNNNNNNNNNNNNNNNNNNNNNNNNNNNNNNNNNNNNNNNNUUAUUCUAGUUCUCCAUUAUCAUGCAAAGCUAUUCUCUUCAUACCCACAACAUAGUUUUAUUUCUCGUUUUUAGUUGGAAGCAAACGUUCGGCGUACGUAGAGUCGUAUCAUUGGCAAAUAGGACAUGAGAUAAUAUUGAUCUUACCUUUAGCUCCUUGUGGGUUCGACACUCCAUACUUAUCACUUCCACCUUUGGAAAUUGCUACUAUGAUUCCUUGCACUGGGGGAUUAUCAAGCUCUUUUCUGGCGCCGUUGUGGGAAGCAAUAGCAUGGGGUUGGUAUUCUUGUGUGUGUUUAUUUGCUUUCUUCACUAAGUAGAUUUUGUUUCCCCUUUUUGGUUUAUUUAGUUGUGGGUGAAACAAAAAAAAUGAAAAAUAUAAAAAGAAUUACUUGCCCCUUAUGCCUAAGAAGUUUUUCAAAAAGAGAAGUGAUUAGAAAGUUGUGCAUUGGAGAAGUGAUGAUCGACCUUGAACACUUGUGUUCAUGCUGAUGAAAAAAAUGUAGAAUUUUUCAUGGAAGUUUCUCAAAAAUAAUUAUCCCCAUGUAUAUAUCCUUUGUAUUAUAAAAAUAAUGUGUCAAGAUUUGGUUUUAGGAUGAUUAGAUAGCUUGUUUUCUUUGCGCGGUGCAAAAACAGAAACUUUGACUGUAGUGCAUGAAUUUUAUUUUUUUACUGGAUCGUCAAAAGUUUCCGAAAAUUUUAAAAAGUACUACUAUAAUUUUUUUUUAAUUUUUUCCUAAAUUUUCAGAAUUUUUUGAGUUACAUAAGUAUGUGAAGUUUCCAAAAUGCUAUAGACUGUUGUGUUGUUGACAGAUUAUGUUUCCUAUGCAUUGUUCUCUUAUUUUGAUGAAUCUAUGGAUAAUACCGGGGGGUAUGAACCAUGGUAAAGUUGGACUACAAUAUAUAUAAUGCUAAUAUGAAUUUGGAAUGAGUUCACAACAGUACUUAAAGUAGUAUUUUUCUUUAUUAUACUAACGGAUCUCACGAGGGUUUUGUUAAUUUUUGUAUGAAUAAAGUGUUCGAAGAUCGACGGUAUCGAUAAAAGAAGAAUACGGAGAUACAAGAGUUCAAACUUGGGGAUUUCCAAGGCACCCCAAGUAAAUAUUUCAAGUAGGCUCAAGCAUCUAAGCUUGGGGAUGCCCCGGAAGGUAUCCCAUCUUUAUUCUUCGAUAAUUAUCGGUAUACCUCGGUUUUUGUUUUGUUCACAUGAUAUGCGUAUUUAGUGUUUUUCUUCUCCUUUUAUGCACCCUUAUAGUAUGAGGUAGUCCUUCAUUGAUUUAUAAAAUACUUCAUGAUCUUCACUUAAAUCUUUUGAGUAUAGCUUUGUAGAAUACUCUUUGUGCUUCACUUAAAUCUUUUGAGUAUGGCUUUGUAGAAUGCUCUUUGUGCUUCACUUAAAUCUUUUGAGUAUGGCCUUAUAGAAUGUUUCGUGUGCUUCACUUAUAUAUUUUAAGCUUGGAUAUUGGUUGAUCUAUAUUAAUUGUAGAAUGCUCUAUGAACUUCACUUAUAUCUUUUAGAGUAUGAAUAAAAUUUCCGUCGGAAUUGGGCUUGGAAGUGUAUCAAUGUCAUGCCUAGCUAGAAAGGCUUUAAAGAAAAGCUUGUUGGGAGAUGAUACGUCCAUUUUGCAUCAUGUUUUCAUGUCGAUAUUUAUAGCUUCUUUGGCUGUUAUUUCACUUCAUGGUACUAUCCUUAUGCCUUUUCUCUCUUAUUUUGCAAGGUUUACAUGAAGAGGGAGAAUACCGACAACUUGAAUUCUGGCCUGAAAGUGGAGCGAAGUUGAGAUACCUAUUCUGCGCAACUCCAAACGCCGUGAAAAUCAACGGGGAUUUUUUUCCCAAUAUAUAAAAAAUACUGGGCCGAAGAAGUACCGGAGGGNNNNNNNNNNUACCUUCGGAGAUACCUGUAGAGCAUCUUUAUAGUCAUCCAUUUACGUUGCGACGUUUGAUACACACAAAGCAUUCCUCCGGUGUCAGUGAGUUAUAUGAUCUCAUGGUCAUAGGAAUAAAUACUUGACACGCAGAAAACAGUAGCAACAAAAUGACACGAUCAACAUGCUACGUCUAUUAGUUUGGGUCUAGUCCAUCACGUGAUUCUCCCAAUGACAUGAUCCAGUUAUCAAGCAACAACACCUUGUUCAUAAUCAGAAGACACUGACUAUCAUCGAUCAACUGGCUAGCCAACUAGAGGCAUGCUAGGGACGGUGUUUUGUCUAUGUAUCCACACAUGUAAAUGAGUCUUCAUUCAAUACAAUUAUAGCAUGGAUAAUAAACUAUUAUCUUGAUACAGGAAUUAUAAUAAUAACUAUACAUUUAUUAUUGCCUCUAGGGCAUAAUUCCAACAGUCUCCCACUUGCACUAGAGUCAAUAAUCUAGCCCUCACAUCACCAUGUGAAUUACAUUGUAAUAAAUCUAACACCCAUACAGUUUGGUGUCGAUCAUGUUUUGGCCAUGGAAGAGGUUUAGUCAGCGGGUCUGCUACAUUCAGAUCCGUGUGCACUUUGCAUAUAUUUACGUCCUCCUCCUCGACGUAGUCGCGGAUGAGGUUGAAGCGUCGUUUGAUGUGUCUGGUCUUCUUGUGAAACCUUGGUUCCUUUGCUAAGGCAAUGGCACCAGUAUUGUCACAGAACAAGGUUAUUGGAUCCAGUGCACUUGGCACCACUCCAAGAUCCGUCAUGAANNNNNNNNNNUAGAGAUCCCUUAGCAUGUGACGAUUGCUUCCACCUCAUACUAGCCAAAACUCCCGCACUAAGUAGAGAUACUACUUGUGCAUCCAUAAUCCUUCAAACCAGUUUUGCCAUGAGUGUCCACCAUACCUACCUAUGGAUUGAAUAAGAUCCCUCAAGUAAGUUGUCAUCGGUGCAAGCAAUAAAAAUUGUUCUCUAAUAUGUAUGAUCUAUUAGUGUGUGGAAAAUAAGCUUCGUACAAACGUGUGAUGAGGAAGACAUAAAAGUGACACACUGCAUAAUAAAGUUCUUUAUCAUAGGGGGCAAUACAAAGUGACAUUCCUCCGCACUAAGAGGACACGCAUCCAAACCUCAAAAGCGCAUGACAACCUCUGCUUCCCUCUGCGAAGGGCCUAUCUUGUACCUUUACUUUUUGCCCUUGAAAGAGUCAUGGUGAUCUUCACCAAUUCCUUAUUUUUCCUUUGUCUUGGCUACCGUCAUAUGCUUGGGAAAGAUCUAUAUUCAUAUGUCAACUUGGAGGUAAGUAUUCAUGAAUUAUUAUUGUUGACAUUACCCUUGAGGUAAGCAGUUGGGAGGCAAAACUACAAGCCCCUAUCUUUCUCUGUGUCCAGCUGAAACUUUGAUCUCAUGAGUACCCCGUGAGUUGUAGCAAUUGUAGAGAAUGAAAGAAUGAUUGAGUAUGUGGAUUUUAUUUACAAGCUCUUAUUUGACUCUUUCUGAUGUUGUGAUAAAUUACAAUUGCUUCAAUGACUAAAGGCUAUCGGUUGUUACUUCUCGGUAAGGUUCUUGAUCCAUGCUUUACAUUGUGAAGGAAUUAUCACUUUAGCAUGAGAGAUUAUAUGUUGGUAUUGAUGUUCUCAUAAUGAUCUUGAUGCUUGCAUGUUCGUAUCUUGUUUUGUCGACACCUCUCUCCCUAAACAUGUGGACAUAUUUAUUGAGCUCAGCUUUCGCUUGAGGACAAGCGAGGUCUAAGCUUGGGGGAGUUGAUACGUCCAUUUUGCAUCAUGUUUUCAUGUUGAUAUUUAUCGCUUCUUUGGUUGUUAUUUAACUUCAUGGUACUAUUCUUAUUCCUUUUCUCUCUUAUUUUGCAAGGUUUACAUGAAGAGGGAGAAUACCGGCAACUUGAAUUCUGGCCUGAAAGUGGAGCGAAGUUGAGAUACCUAUUAUGCGCAACUCCAAACGCCGUGAAAAUCAAUGGGGAUUUUUUCCCAAUAUAUAAAAAAUACUGGGCCGAAGAAGUACCGGAGGGNNNNNNNNNNUGCCAUGGGGGCUUGUGGGCAGCCCACUGGCCCACUGGCCCCCCUCAUUUGCUAUAUGGAGGGUUUCGUCCAGAAAAAAAUCACGGGGGAGCUUUUUCAUGGUUUCGCCGCCGCCACGAGGCGGAACUUGAGCAGAACCAAUCUAGANNNNNNNNNNGCACCAGGGGGUGCCCACAAGCCUGCACGGCGCGGCCACCCCCCCAGGCCGCGCCAUGGGGGCUUGUGGGCGGCCCACUGGCCCACUGGCCCCCCUCUUUUGCUAUAUGGAGGGUUUCGUCCAGAAAAAAAAUCACAGGGGAGCUUUUUCGUGGUUUCGCCGCCGCCACGAGGCGGAACUUGAGCAGAACCAAUCUAGAGCUCCGCUAGGACGAUCCUGUCGGGGAAACUUCCCUCCCGGAGGGGGAAAUCGUCGCCAUCAUCAUCACCAACACUCCUCUCAUCGGAGGGGACUCGUCACCAUCAACAUCUUCAUCAGCACCAUCUCAUCUCCAAACCCUAGUUCAUCUCUUGUAACCAAUCUCCGUCUCGCGACUCCGAUUGGUACUUGUAAGGUUGCUAGUAGUGUUGAUUACUCUUUGUAGUUGAUGCUAGUUGGAUUACUUGGUGGAAGAGUUUAUGGUCAGAUCCUUGAUGCUACUCAUUACACCUCUGAUCAUCAUAAUGAUUAUGCUUUGUGAGUAGUUACUUUUGUUCCUGAGGACAUGGGAUAAGUAAUGCUAAUAAUAGUCAUAUGAAUUUGGCAUUCGUUCGGUAUUUUGAUAUGUUGUAUGUUGUUUUUCCUCUAGUGGUGUUAUGUGAACGUCGACUACAUAACACUUCACCAUUAUUUGGGCCUAGAGGAAGGCAUUGAGAAGUAGUAAGUACAUGAUGGGUUGCUAGAGUGACAGAAGCUUAAACCCUAGUUUAUGCGUUNNNNNNNNNNCUUAUGUGAACGUCGACUACAUAACACUUCACCAUUAUUUGUGCCUAGAGGAAGGCAUUGAGAAGUAGUAAGUAGAUGAUGGGUUGCUAGAGUGACAGAAGCUUAAACCCUAGUUUAUGCGUUNNNNNNNNNNCGGUUAGACUUUGUCUUAAUUCUUCUUUCAUAGUUGCAGAUGCUUGCGAGAGGGGUUAAUCAUAAGUGGGAUGCUUGUCCAAGUAAGGGCAGUACCCAAGCGCCGGUCCACCCACAUAUCAAACUAUCAAAGUAACGAAUGUGAAUCAUAUGAACAUGAUGAAACUAGCAUGACAGAAAUUCCCGUGUGUCCUUGGGAGCGUUUUUCCUCUUGUAAGACUUUGUCCAGGCUUGUCCCUUGCUACAAAAGGGAUUGGGACACUUUGCUGCACCGUUGCUACUUUUGUUAUUUGUUGCUUGCUACGAAUCAUCUCACCACACAAUCACUUGUUACCAACAAUUUCAGUGCUUGCAGAUUGAUACGUCUCAAACGUAUCUAUAAUUUUUGAUGGUUUCACGCUGUUAUCUUGUCUUCUUUGGUUGUUUUAUGUACCUUUUAUAUCUUUUUUGGGACUAACUUAUUAAUUCAGUGCCAAGUGACAGUUCCUGUUUUUUCCGUGUUUUUGACUCUUUUCGGAUAUGAUUUUGGAACGGAGUCCAAACGGAAGAAAAACCCCGAAAUGAUUUUNNNNNNNNNNUGGUUAGACUUUGUCUUAAUUCUUAUUUCGUAGUUGCGGAUGCUUGCGAGAGGGGUUAAUCAUAAGUGCGAUUCUUGUCCAAGUAUGGGCAGUACCCAAGCGCCGGUCCACCCACAUAUCAAACUAUCAAAGUAACGAACGCGGAUCAUAUGAACAUGAUGAAACUAGCAUGACAUAAAUUCCCGUGUGUCCUCAGGAGCGUUUUUCCUCUUGUAAGACUUUGUCUAGGUUUGUCCCUUGCUACAAAAGGGACUGGGCCACUUUGCUGCAGUGUUGCUACUUUUGUUACUUGUUGCUUGCUACGAAUCAUCUCACCACACAAUCACUUGUUACCGACAAUUUCAGUGCUUGCAGAUUUUUCCUUGCUGAAAACCACUUGUCAGAUCCUUCUGCUCCUCGNNNNNNNNNNUGGACAUGAUGCCUAUAGAAAUAAUCAUUGCAUAGAUAUCGUCACGACUUUACGCGGUUCUAUCAAUUGCUCGACGGUAAUUUGUUCACCCACCAUCUACUUGCUUUCAUGAGAGAAGCCACUAGUAAACACUACGGUCCCCGGGUCUAUUCACAUCCAUCAUUUACAUCUCCGCUUUUACUUUGCUUUGUUACUUUGUUGCUUUCAGUUCUCACUUGGCAAACAAUCUAUAAGGGAUUGACAACCCCUUCAUAGAGUUGGGAGCAAGUUUUUGUGUUUGUGCAGGAUCUUGAGAUACUCCUCCACUGGAUUGAUACCUUGGUUCUCAAACUGAGGGAAAUACUUACCACCGCUACGCUACAUCACCCUUUCCGCUUUGAGGGAACACCAACACAAGGCUCCAAGGCCACGGGGGAAAUCCUUUGCAUACUUGCCUAGGAANNNNNNNNNNAACUGGAUUGAUAUCUUGGUUCUCAAACUGAGGGAAAUACUUACCACCGCUAUGCUACAUCACCCUUUCUGCUUCGGGGGAACACCAACGCAAGGCUCCAAGGCCACGGGGGAAAUCCUUUGCAUACUUGCCUAGGAAGUCCCUUAAGGCGUAGCCGCAGCAGAAAGAUCAAGCCAAGUAUUCUCCCGUCGACGUGCCUAUUUCUGGCGCGUUGGAAGGUCUUUUGUUGCAGUAGUAGUGCACAAAACCCACCAUUAGCCUCCCUCAAAACAGCAUGAUUGUAAGAUAGCUAGCAUGAUGUUUCCAUUGAUGCCUAUGCCAUGCUAGAUCAUUCCCACGGUACACUACCGAAGGCAUUCCAAAUAGAGUCAUCGUUACUCUAAAUUUUGAGUUGAAAGUGUGAUGAUCAUCAUUAAUGGAGCAUUGUCCCAUGUGAGGAAAUAAAAGAGGCCAAAGAAGCCCACCAAAAUAUAAACAAAGGCCAAAGAGCCCACCAAAUAAAAAAUGAGAGAAAAAGAGAGAAGGGACAAUGCUACCACUUUUUCCACACUUGUGCAUAAUAAGCACCAUGAUCUUCAUGAUUGAGAGUCUCUCGUUUUGUCACCACCAUAUAGCUAGUGGGAAAUUUUCAUUAUAUAACUAGGCUUGUAUAUUCCUAUGAUAGGCUUCCUCAAAAUUGCCUUAGGUCUUCGUGAGCAAGCAAGUUGGAUGCACACCCACUAGUUUUCUUUAAGAGCUUUCACAUACUCAUAGCUCUAGUGCAUCAAUUGUAUGGCAAUCCCUACUCAUUCACAUUGAUAUCUAUUGAUGAGCACCUCCACGGCUCAUUGAUAUGCCUAGUUAAUGUGACUAUCUUCUCCUUUUUGUCUUGCAACCUCCACUACAUUCCACACCACCUAUAGUACUAUAACCAUGGCUCACGCUCAUGUAUUGCGUGAGAGUUGAAAAGGUUUGAGAAAGUAAAGGUGUGAAACAAUUACUUGGCCCAUACCGGGGUUGUGCAUGAUUUAAAUUCAUUGUGCAAUGAUGAUAGAGCAUAGCCAGACUAUAUGCUUUUGUAGGGAUAACUUUCUUUUGGCCUUGUUAUUUUGAAAGUUCAUGACUACUUUGCUAGUUUGCUUGAAUUAUUAUUGUUUCCACGUCAAUAGAAAACUAUUGUUUUGAAUCUAAUGGAUCUAAACAUUCACAUCACAUAAGAGGAAUUACAAAGGACACCUAUGCUAGGUAGCAUGAAAGCAUCAAAAAUUCAUUCUUAUCACUUCCCUACUCGAGGACGAGCAGAAGUUAAGCUUGGGGAUGCUUGAUACGUCUCAAACGUAUCUAUAAUUUUUUAUGGUUUCACGUUGUUAUCUUGUCUUCUUUGGUUGUUUUAUGUACCUUUUAUAUCUUUUUGGGGACUAACUUAUUAAUUCAGUGCCAAGUGCCACUUCCUGUUUUUUCUGUGUUUUUGACUCUUUUCAUAUCUGAUUUUGGAACGGAGUCCAAACGGAAGAAAAACCCCGAAAUGAUUUUUUCCCGAACGGAAGAAGAUCAGGGGGCCUUUGGGCCAACCCAGGUGGGCUCCAAGGAGCCCACAAGCUCCCACCACGCCACCAGGGGGGAGGCGGCGGUAGGCAGGCUUGUGGCCACCCUCGCCGCCCCCUGACCUAGAUCUUUGGCCUAUAAAUUCCAAAUAUUCCGCAAAAAAUCAGGGGAGCCUCGAAAAUACUUUUCCGCCGCCGCAAGCUUCCGUUUCCGCGAUAUCUCAUCUGGAGACCCUUCCCGGCACCUUGCCGGAGGGGACUUUGGANNNNNNNNNNUCCCACCACGCCACCAGGGGGAGGCGGCGGUGGGCAGGCUUGUGGCCUCCCUGGCCGCCCCCUGACCUAGAUCUUUGGCCUAUAAAUUCCCAAAUAUUCCGCAAAAAAUCAAGGGAGCCUCGAAAAUACUUUUCCGCCACCGCAAGCUUCCGUUUCCACGAGAUCUCAUCUCGAGACCCUUCCCGGCACCCUGCCGGAGGGGACUUUGGAGUUGGAGGGCUUGUUCAUCAUCAUCAUCGCCCCUCCAAUGACUCAUGAGUAGUUCACUUCAGACCUACGGGUCCGUAGUUAGUAUCUAGAUGGCUUCUUCUCUCUCUUGGAUCUUCAAUACAAAGUUCUCCGUGAUCUUCAUGGAGAUNNNNNNNNNNCGUUGGAAGGUCUUUUGUUGCAGUAGCACAGAUUUUUCCUUGCUGAAAACCACUUGUCAGAUCCUUCUGCUCCUCGUUGGGUUCGACACUCUUACUUAUCGAAAGGACUACGAUUGAUCCCCUAUACUUGUGGGUCAUCAGGAGACAACCCAACACUUUUACUUUUUGUUUUUUGGUGUUCGCAUGAUUAAGCUACUGUAUUAAUCAUGUUUUAUGCUUUUUAUUUCAAUAAAAUGCCAAGUAAAGCCUUUGGGAUAGUGUAGGUGACAGUUGACUUGAUUCCGUGCAAAAAACAGAAACUUUUGCUCUCAGUCCAGAAAUUUUGUAAAUCCACUAGAACGUGAUUUUGAUCUGAAUUUUUUACACAUGAUUGAUAUACAAAUUGCUUGGAUUUUCCUAAUGUUUCAGAAUUUUUAGAGACACAGAAGUAUGGUUACAUUACAGAUCUUCACACACUGUUCUGUUUUUGACAGAUUCUGUUUUGCAUGCAUAGUUUGCUUUUUUUAUUAUUUCCAUAGCUUAUAUUCAGUGAUAUAAAUUACGGGGUGGUAGAAUGCAGUAGGUAUCAUGUUAGAACAAUUAUGAAUCUUUUCUUGAUAGUACCUAAGUGAAUGUUCAUUAUUUUUUAUACUAACCCAUCUCACGAAGUUCCGUUAAGUUUUGUGUGAUUGAAGUUUUCAAGUUUUGGGAGACACCAAUAUGAGGAGAAUAAGGAGUGAAAAUAACCUAAGCUUGGGGAUGUCCAAGGCACACCCAAGGUAAUAUAUAAGUAAGACUCAAACUCUUAAGCUUGGGGAUGCCCCGAAAGGCAUCCCCUCUUUCGUCUUCAACAUUAUCGGUAUAUCUUACUUGGAGCUAUAUUUUUAUUCGUCACAUAAUAUGUGCUUUGCUUGUAUCGUCAUUAUAUUUUGUUAUUUUAUGUUAGGUGUUACUCAUAAUCUUGUUUUUCAAUAAAAAGCUUGAAAGGGCGUGGAUGUCGCCUAGAGGGGGGUGAAUAGGCGCUUUAAAAUAAUUACGGUUUAGGCUUGAACAAAUGCGGAAUAAAACUAACAUUUAAUUUAUCAAGCACAAAACCUAAAACAACUAGGCUCACCUAUGUGAACCAACAACUUAUGUUAAGCAAGAUAAACAACUAAGUGAUAGCAAGAUAUUUGACAAGAAACAAUAUGGCUAUCACAAAGUGCAUAAGUAAAGGGUUCGGGUAAGAAAUAACCAAGGCAUGCGGAGACGACGAUGUAUCCCGAAGUUCACACCCUUGCGGAUGCUAAUCUUCGUUUGGAGAGGUGCGGAGGCACAAUGCUCCCCAAGAUGCCACUAAGGCCACCGUCAUCUCCUAACGCCCUCGCACAAUGCAAGAUGUCGUGAUUCCACUAAGGGACCCUUGAGGGCGGUCACCGAACCCGUACAAACAAGGUUGGGGCAAUCUCCACAACUUAAUUGGAGGCUCCCAACAACACCACGAAGCUUCACCACAAUGUCAUAUGGCUUCGAGGUGACCACAAAUGCUCGGGGAAAUCUCCACAAGUUAAUUGGAGACCCCGACGCUUGCCCGGAGCUUUACACCACAAUGAUUGAGCUCUGAGGCACCACCAAGCUUCUAGGGGUACCAAGUACCCAAGGGUAAUAAGUUUUCUCAACUUCUCACUUUCACGUAUCACCAUGGAGAACUCAAACCAAUGCAACUAAUGCAAUGGCAAGAACACACGAAGUGGUCAAGUCCCUCACACUCAAAUCCCUCCACAACAACAAAAGUUGUGGAGAAAUAUCAGAGGAGGAACAAGGAGCUCACAAAGAACUCCAAGAUCAAGAUCCAAGGGGUUCCCCUCACAUAGAGGAGAAAGUGAUUGGUGGAGAUGUGGAUCUAGAUCUCCUCUCUCUUUUCCCUCAAGAACUAGUAAGAAUCAUUGGAGGGAUUGAGAGUUAGCAAGCUCUAAAAAGGUCAAUAAUGGGGAAGAACACGAGCUCAACAGAUGGAUUCGGUCCAAUGGGGAAGAAGACCCCCUUUAUAUAGUGGGGAAAAGAAUCCAACUGUUACCCCCACUCACACCCCGAGCGGAGCGGUACUAUCGCACGGUAGGAAAAAAAUUACUAUCGUGACUACCACCGCUGAGGUUGUAGAUGCAAAGAAAGUCCGAGGAAGCUUUACUACCGCCCGAGAUCGGUAGUAAAAAAACUACUACCGCUCUAGGAGCAGUACUACCGCUCGCACCAGGAGCGGUACUGCCGCUGGAUACUGAAACUGCCAUAACUUUCGCAUACGAACUCCGAAUCGAGCAAACUCAAGCUUGUUGAAUUCAGGACGGCAAGAGCUAUCGAACAGCGGUUAUGAAAAUUCCAAUUAUAUAGAUAUGUGAUACCUCUACGAAUGAAGAACCGGCAAAAAACUUCCAACGUCGAAAACAUCAUAGAAGAUGCAUAUGGACUCUGUUUUCGAUGAACUCGAGCAUGUCACGAAGAUGAACAUAAGCUCUAAAACUCACAAAGAGAAACACCAAACAAGAACCAAGAAAUAUGAUGCAAGGAUGCAAAUGGUUUGAGCUCUCAAUGAACGAUACGAUCAAGCUACUCACUUGAGAGCCCCCCUUGAUAAUACGACAAUCUAUCCUAAAAUAGAAAACCUAUCAAGGGCACCUAGUCCUGUUGAGCUAGAUGAUGAUGAUCUUUGCUUCCUCAAGAUGGACCACAUUUCUUGACUGUGUUGGUUUGAUGAAGACCGGUUGAUAGCCCCCCAUACUCACUAUGGGUGAGUGAUGUCUACGCACGCUUCUAUUCUUGUAGACUAUGUUGGGCCUCCAAGCGCAGAGGUUUGUAGGACAGCAGCAAUUUCCCUCAAGUGGAUGAACUAAGGUUUAUCAAACACAGGGAAGUAGAGGCUGAAGAUGGUUCUCUCAAGCAACCCUGCAACUAAGAUACAAGAAGUCUAUUGUGUCCCCAACACACCUAAUACAAUUGUCAGUUGUAUAGGUGCACUAGUUCGGCGAAGAGAUGUUAAAACGCAAGUGAUAUGGAUGGUAAAACAAGGUAUUGUAAAUCUGAAAUAAAAAUGGCAGCAAGAAAACAUGAAACAAAACUGGAAGUAAACGGUGUUCAGUGGUGGAAAACAAGGCCUAGGCUUCAUACUUUCACUAGGGACAACUCCCAACAACAUUAGCAUAGUCUAAUCACAUGAUAUUUCCACUAAAACAUGCAAUGGCGACAUACUCGGAGGUCAUUCCUUUGUGAUCAAGAGAGGACAAGAAUUAUGUAGGGCUACAAAAGCACACCUCAGAGUUCGUAGUUCUCAUCUAUGGAUUUCCCAAUGUCACCGCGGCCAUCCAAAGAGAGUACCACAAUCACCACAACUUAUCUCAAGGAUAGUCAAAGACAAGCACCAAGAGACUCUCAAUCUUCAAUCAAUUCACAAAAGAGAAAAUCACUCAUGAAAAUAUUCUUCUAAUCCAUGUCCAAUAGACCGCUGUCACCAUGGUCUCAAGGAUUAUACUAGAUAAGAUCAAGUGAGUACAUCAAUCCAAUACAUAGAAGAAGGGGAAACAUCAUGGGAUCACCCUAGGUUAACAUAACCUAUGAUCACAAUCAAGAUCACAUCAUGCGAGAGGGAAUUAACCACAUAGCUACACGUAGAGCCCUCAGCCCCGAGGGAGACUAGUCACACAUGGCCAUGGCGAGCAAGAGGUUGAUGGAAAGGUGCAGCCCGGAGGGGAGACGGCGGCCACGGCGGCGGCCACGACCCUUGGGGGUGGCGGCCCUUGGCCCCCUUCUUCCUUGGAGAUGGUGAUGGUAUGGAGGUGGUUCUCCACCCCAAGGCGGCUGCCUGGGAGGAGGAAAUCUUGUGGCUCUUGGUGGCUCUACAGGAAUUAGGUUUUUCCUCUCCUUAUAUGAGUCGCGACGAUCAUCCUUGGCCCUUCGAUGGAUGCCCAUUUGAUCCAAGGGCUCUUGGGCACCUCUAGAACCUUCCUAGGAACCCCUAUCAGCCCUAAUGAGGUCCCCAAGUCAUGGCUUGGGCGAAUCCAUCUAAUAUGGUAAGAGUUGGACUCAAUCACGUCACCGAUUCCCGUAAUCCUGUAAUCACAUAUUUGUCCUCCAGUAAAACGGGCUUUAUUGGAGCGUACAAACUCCAAAUGGGCCGAAUAUUAUGUCUAGAAUUAUUAGAAUAUAAUUCCCCACAACUUUUGCAUCUAUUAUUUUUCAUUUUACGUCAUCUUCGAGGCGGAAACAGACUAUCUCUAAAAACUGUAGGGGCAUAUUUCAGGAAAGUCAGAGUCCCACUCCAAUAAAGUUUCAUCUUCUGUUUUUGAUGGUUCCUACACACCAAAGUGUAAAACAAGAACAUUGUGCACUUUUGCAACUAUUAGUAGGUUAGUCCAAAUAAAUCAUAAACUUAAUAUAAAACAAUUCUCAAAAGCAUAAAAGUAGCAUGAAACCAUCAAAAAUUAUAGAUACGUUUUGGACGUAUGAGUGAGCCAUCGCUAUAUUGCUGAUGAUAACCACUUGAUGUCAUCCUUCAUAGGUUGAAUGGGAUCUUCCUCUUGACGCAAACCCAUGGAGACACACCUAACCCCACAUAGAACUCUCACGAAGACCAUGGGUUAGUACACAAAAGUGUUAUGGAUAAUGCUUACCAUACCAUGGGAUCACUUGAUCCCUCUCGGUACAUCUUGUACGCUUUGUGUGUUUAUCAUCUUGAUUUAUUCUUUGUCUUAGUCUUGAUCAAGCUUAUGUCUUUAUGACCAUUCUUUGGAUAAUACCUUGAAUACUACCUUGGUCAUCAUAUAAAGAAGUGAAUAUGGACAAAUCCUUAGAAUAUAACUCAAUGCAACCAUUAGUCCAUGGGAUUGUCAUUAAUUACCAAAACCACAUACAGAGAAAUAUGCUCUAACAAAGUUCCAAGAAUUGCCUUUAGGAUGCUUGCAUUGCAUGUUUGAUGUAUGCUGUGUAAAGACAGAGACUUUUAUUGUAGAGUUUGAAUUUUCAUAUUUUACUGGAACGUGGAAAGUUUCUGAAUUUUUUACACAGUGUUGUAAUAUAAAUUUUAUAGCAUUUCCUGAAUUUUCAUAAUUUUUUGAGUUACGAAAGUACACUGUUUUCAUAAAUUGCUACAGACCGUUCUGUUUGGACAGAUUGCUGUCAUAGUUUUGUUAUCUACUUAUCCUAUAGUUUCCAUAGCCUAUAUUGGUAGUUAUAAAUUGUGGAAAUAAUAGUAUACAUUACCCAAUUUUUGGAAAUUAUUGUGCAACUUGUCUUGGUAGUACAUGAAGUGUUGAUUUGUUCUUAUGUGUACUAACCUAUCUCACGAGUUCUUUUUGAGUUUUGUGUGGAUGAAGUUUUUGAGAAUAGGUGAAACCGGGAUAUGAGAAGAUUGAACAAGAUACAAAAGCUCAAGCUUGGGGAUGCCCAAGGCACCCCAAGUUAAUAUUUCAAGAACUCUCAAGCAUCUACUUGUAUCCUAUGAGUAAAUGGUUGAAUGAAUUGAAUAUCAUAAAUCUAAAAUUAUAUAUGUUUUUUAUGCUUAUCCCAUGUGGAGUAAUGACUUCACAUAUAAGAAGUAUAUGUGGUAAAAUUUAUUGAAAGAUAGCAAACACCGCAUUGGUCACUUGAACAAUUCACGAAAGAAUAUUGAAGGAAGAGAGAUUUCACAUAUAAAUUUACUAUCUUGGAAAUCUUCUAUGAUUGUGAAUACCCGUUAAUUAUUUUCAAACUUGAGCAAAUUAGUUGAAGAUUGGACAAGGAAGACAACGUAAUGAGUUAUGCUUGGGUAUAUUUGUAUAGAAGUUAUAUUGUUAUGGAUCCUCCAACAUGUGGUGCUUGCUUCCACCUCAUACUAGCCAAAACUUCCGCACCAAGUAGAAAUACUACUUGUGCAUUCAAAUACCCUUAAACCCAAAGUUGUUUGUCCAUAUGAAUCCACCAUACCUACCCAUAUGCGGUAUUUAUGUGUCGUUCCAAGUAAACUUGCAUGUGCCAAACUCUAAACCUUCAAAUAAUAUUCUGUUUUGUAUGCCCGAAUCGCUCAUGUAGUGACUAGGGGUUGUUAGUAUAUUCGAUGCUAGGUGGGUUAUUCUCACGAUAUGUGUUGAUUCACUAUCAUUCACGAGAAAGUGGCUGGUAUUCGGGAUGCCCAUUUCCAUGCUCCAAAUUCAAAUCAAAAUAUAAUGAAACAAAACUCCCCCAGGAUUGUUGUUUAUAUGGAUGGUACCCAUGGAUUCGGCUCGCCGUGGAGUGUGAUUGAUUGGUGGAGGGGGGGUAAAAAAAUUACCACUCUAUUUGGGAACCGCCUAUAAUGUAUCUAACAUGAAAGAUAUCGAGAUCCCUCGGUUGUUAUGUUGACAAUGAAAGCAUACCGCUCAAAAUUAUUAUUCAUCUCUGUUUUAAAAGCUUGAGCUUUGGCACCUCUGCAAAUCAAUGCUUCCCUCUGUGAAGGGCCUACUUUUAUUUUCUACCACUUACCUUUAUGCAAGAGUCAUGGUGAUCUUCACGACUUCCUAUAUUUCGCCUGUUUCUCUUGACAAGCAUCAUGUGGUGGGGAAAGAUCCAAGCAUAUAUGUCCAUUCAAAUAUAUUUGAUCGUGAAUUAUUAUUGUUGACAAUUAUAUAUAUUAUAAAUAAGUUGGGAGGCGAAACUUUAAGCCCAUAUCUUUCUCCGUGUUCGACGGAUGCCAUUUGCUCUUAAAAUAUGCUUUGAGUGUUAGCAAUCAUGGAAGACUAUAUGCUAGUUGAGUAUGUGGAAUUUGCUAAAUCAAAGCUCUUACAUAGACCCUUCCUGAAAAUAAGAUGAAUUGCAAUUGUUUGAUGACUAGGAUUAUGGUUUGUUAGUUUUCAAGAAACUUUUUGGUCUAUACUUUAACAUGUGAAUAGCUUGUUACUUGAUCAUGAGAAGUUUUAUGAGAUGAGCUAUUGUUUAUGGUUUAUAUUUAUGCUAGAAAAAGUGAUUGGAAGUAUCAUUUGUCAAACUUGUGCACUUGCUAGCAUUCACACUUCAUAAAUAUUUCUUUUAUCAUUUACCUACUCGAUGACGAGCAGGAAUUAAGCUUAGGGGUGUUGAUACGUUUCCGGCGUAUCUAUAAUUUAUGACGUAUUCAUGCCAUGUUUACAAUAAUUAUAUAUGAUUUUGGUAUGAUUUUAUUAGAACUAACCCGGAGUGACGCUGUUUUCAACAGAACUACCAUGCUAUCGUUUUUUGUGCACAAAUAGAAGUUCUCGGAAUGGGCUGAAAAUUUACGGUGAUUUUUAUGGACCAAAAGAGACCCCCGAAGCACCAGAGUUGGGCCAGGAAGUGGAUGAGGAAGCCACAAGCCUGCUGGGUGCGGCCACCCCCUAGGUCGUGCCCCCGUGGCUUGUGACUUCCUCGGGAACCUUCCGGACGUGAGACCGAUGCCAAAAAUUCCUAUAAAUACCAAAAAAACCCAGAAAGAAACCUAGAUCGGGAGUUCCGCCGCCGCAAGCCUCCAGAGCCACGAAAAACCAAUCUUGGCCCUAUCUUCACCGGAGGCCAUCUUCAUCAUCCCGGCGGUCUCCAUAAUCGCCAUGGAGGCCAAGGACCAGAGGGAGAACCUCUCCCCACUCAAGGGGGAGACCAUGGAGGAGGAAGCACAAGGGGGACCUUUCUCUCUCUCUCUCUCUCUCUCUCUCUCUCUCGAUGGCGCCGGAGUGCCAUCGGGAGAACCAUCGCCGUGGUGAUUGUCUUCAUCAACAACACCUUUUUCAUCACCAUCAUCAUCUCCUCUCAGCGGUCCACUCUCCCGCACCUCGUUGUAAUCCCCUACUUGUACAUGGUGCUUUAUGUCGCAUAUUAUGAUUCAAUGAUGUGUUGCCAUCCUAUUAUAUUUUGAGUAGAUUUCUUUUGUCCUUUGGGUUGAUUGAUGAUCUAGAUUGGUGUGAGUUGUAUAUUUAUUUUGGUGAUGUCCUAUGGUGCCUUCCGUGUCGCGCACACGUGAAGGAUUCCCGUUGUAGGGUGUUGCAAUGCGUUCAUGAUUCGCUUAUAGUGGGUUGCUUGAGUGACAGAAGCAUAAACCCGAGUAAGGGGGCUAUUGCGUAUGGGAUAAAUGGGACUUGAUACUUUAAUUGUAUGGUUGGGUUUUACCUUAAUGAUCUUUAGUAGUUGCGUAUGCUUACUAGAGUUUCAACCAUAAGUGCAUAUGAUCCAAGUAGAGAAAGUAUGUUAGAUUAUGCCCCUCCCUCAUAUAAAAUUGCUAUAAUGAUUACCGAUCUUGUUAACAAUUGCCUAGGACAAUUCCGCACACCGACCCAUCAUUAUUCCAUACUUGUUGUUUGUAAUAUAUUGUAAUAUAUUCUAACUUUAUGAUAACAACACCUAUUUUUAUAUUCUAGUUCUCUGUUAUCAUGCAAAGCUAUUCUCUUCAUACCACCAUGUAGUUUUAUUUCUCGUUUCUAGUUGGAAGCAAACGUCCGGUGUACGUAGAGUCGUAUCAUUGGCACAUAGGACUUGAGAGAAUAUUGAUGUUACCUUUAGCUCCUUAUAGGUUCGACACUCCAUACUUAUCACUUCCACCUUUGAAAAUUGCUAUGAUGAUUCCUUACACUUGGGGAUUAUCAGCCCAAGGGUGGCGCACCAUCCCCUAGUGGUCUGGUGGCCAGCCCAAGAGGGCCUAGGUCGGCUGAAGUGGGAGAAAAGGCAUGGAGAGGAGGCCAAUCCGAUUUGCCUUCCAAGUGGAGUUGGAGGAGGACUCCUCCCUCUCCCUCUUGCGUCGGUCGAAACCCUAGAGGUUUCCCUAGGGCGCCGCCCCCUCCCUCCCACCUAUAUAUAGUGGAGGUGAUAGAGGCUUUUGGCACUCAAGCAAAAGUGCAGCUCUCUCUCCCUCCACAACUUCGACACCCCGUAGCUAGAUUAGUCCGGCACGGCGAAGCCCUGCCGGAGUAGCUCCACCACCAUCACCGUUACGUCGUUGUGUUGCCGGAGAAUUCAGCUACCUCUUCACCCCUCUUGUUGGAUCAAGAAGGCGGAGAUCUUCACCGAGAUGUACAUGUGUUGAACGCAGAGGUGCCGUACGCUCGGUACUAAAUCGGAACGGAGUUCGUGGGACGGAUCGUGAUUGGAUCGCAAAGAUGUUCGACUACAUCAACCAUGUUUCUUAACUCUUCCCGCUUAGCGAUCUACAAGGGUAUGUGGAUCUGAUCUCCCCUCUUGUAGAUGAUCAUCACCAUGAUAGGUCUUUCGUGUGCGUAGGAAUUUUUUUGUUUCCCAUGCAACGUUCCCCAACAUCUCUCUCGUAGUAAUUCUCCAUCAUAGCAAUCGCGACAGCGCUUGGCGAAGCCCUGCUGAAAUUGCACCACCACCACCGUCACCACGCUGCCGUGCUGCCGGAGUACUCAACCUCUAGUUCAACAUCGCUCUCUGGAUCAAGGAGGUGAAGGCAUCAUCGAGCUGUACGUGUGCCGAAAGCGAGGUGUCGUAUGUUCGGAAGACGUUCCACUACAUCAACCGCGUUCUUUAACACUUCCGCUUAGCGAUUUACAAGGGUAUGUAGAUGCAAUCUCUCCUCUUGUAGAUGGUCAUCUCCUAGAUUGUUCUUGGUGAAGCGUAGGAUUUUUUCCCAUGCAACGUUUCCCCAACAAGGAGGUAUAAUUGUUGUUCCUAACGACAAAAAUGAACUUAUCCUACAAAGAAUUGUAACUGGUUGUAGGAUGGUAAUUGAUUUCAGGAAAUUAAAUAAAGCUACUAAAAAAGAUCAUUACCCCUUGACUUUUAUUGAUCAAAUUUUAAAAAUAUUAUCUAAGCAUACACAUUUUUGUUUUCUUAAUGGAUAUUCUGGUUUCUCUCGAAUACCUCUGUCAAAAGAAGAUCGAGAGAAACCUAUCUUUACUUGUGUGUUUGGAACUUAUGCUUAUAGAUGUAAUGCACCUGCUACCUUUUAAAGGUGUAUAGCUGCUAUAUUGUGUGACUUUUAUGAAAAGAUUAUUAAGGUAUUCAUGGAUAAUUUUUCCAAUUAUGAGACGUCUUUUGAUGAUUGCUUAGGCAACCUUGUUCGAGUUUUGCAAAGACGUGAAAAAACUAAUCUUGUCUUAAAUAGGAAAGUGUCCCUUUAAGGUGAAUGAAGGUAUAAUACUGAUGCCCCAUAAGUAUAGGGGAUCAACUGUAGUCAUUUCGAUAAGUAGAUGUAUAUACACCCAUAGAACAAAAGUUCCCCUCCAUAUGAGGAGCCGCAUGUUUAGCUCUAUUGAGGUUUAAAGUUAUCGCGAAAAACACAACUUUUCCCACGUACUUCUCAUGUCAUGAGGCAACUCGCCGGAUUAAAAUGUAGCCGAACCGCACACGUCUGACAUCGCCUCACAUAACUUAAUUUAUUUUGGAAAUUUCCAUAUACUUGUAUUGGGGUCAUGUUGAUGUACAUGCUAUUCUUGGGAUCAUAUUGAUGUACCGGUAAUUUAUCUCUGAGCCUGGGCUCGUAUAAACCCGGUGAACAGUACCAUGUUUUAGACUACCAAAAAUGUUUUAAAAAGUCCAAUUUUUUUCAUGAUGCAAGAUCCUCUUAUGUGUGAACUCCCUGCAAAACUUUAUGAAAUUUGAACAUUCAAGAAACUCACGGCAAAAAAGACAAAAUCAGGCAUGAAUAGUGCACUUUUCAAAUGUUUCUCACACAUCUGAAACUUGUCUUUUUUGCCGUGAGCUCCUCAAAUGUCGAAACUACACAAAAAUUUGCAAGCAGUUCACACAUAGGAGCAUCUUACACCAUAAAAAAAUUGAACUUUUUUGAAUACUUUUUGUACCUCAGAACAGGGUACUGUUCAUGCACGAGCUCAGAUGAGCCUGGGAGCCAAAUUGCCGUGUUUCUACUUCCUCCCCUCUCUCUCUCCCCUUGUAUUAUCUCGGAUUAUAAACGGAAUUGAAGAUUUUAGAGAGAGAAAAGACAAGCUAAUUGCAAGACCAUCAUAGAAUGCAUGUUCCAUCAAUACCGAGAUCGUCCAUGACGCCACUCUACUAUGCAUCUGAUAUGGUAUGAACAAACCUUAGCAGCUAACUUUCUAAACACCAUUUUUUUUCAGAUUAAGAUGGAUCAGGAGGAGAAUGCAUGGCGGACCUUGUUCUCAAGGAACGAAACCAACUCAAGGGUGGUGGCACCGAGCCUCGACGACAGCAGGCAGCGAGGUCGCAGCCGCGUGCAAACGAUACAUGCCGGGUCUGAAGGUGGGCAUAGAAAGAGCAUUGGUAUCCUCGUCUGCUUAGACGUGAUGAUCAACUGCCAAAAUUAUACCACAUCACACGAAUAUGUAGCAGCAAACUUCCCCAGUGACAGUACGGCAUGUAUUUUGAGCACUGGUAUCCGGUGACAAAAUUGAAUAUACACCUCAACUAGGAUGAACGCGGAUGUAUGUAUUACUCUUUCAUCCAAAACGCAAGCACGGACACCGCCUUGGCCUGCUUGUGUUGCUGGCGAUGGCGAGGGGACCGUCGAGAGAAGACUCACUUCUUUUCCGCUGCUUUAUGGUCUGGAAUCUUCAGCAUGCCACCGUCGAUGAGCGGCUGCACCUCGGAUUUCGCAAGAUCCUUCACCUUGGAAUCUGGAGAUUCCAGAUAGGCAGCCACCACCUUGGAGCUGCAGCAACGAUCAACAAGUUCAGAAGAGUAUCAGCGCAUGAUUCCCCUUUUAUUUCCUUCAAAAUACCACCUCAGCAGUGCAAUGUAGUACGUAAAUUGCAACAAAUAGUUGAAAUUGUAUUCGUCGCAUUUGCAUGGUCCACAAAUUUGAUGAACAGAUUAAACAACUGGCAUAUCGAUGAGGAAUCAUUUUGAGGUACCUGAAUCCAUCUGCAAAUGACUUGGACUUCCCUUUGAGGGCUUUUUCCCAUAGGGUAGCGGCAAACGCAGGGCAAUCAAGUACCAUCUUUCUGAUUACGCGGCUCGAGUGGUAGUUAUCAAAGGCAUGCUCAACAUCCUCUGUCCUCGGCCGUGCUGCGUCAGAAGCUAUAGCAUUGUGAAGCACGUGGAUCCUGUCGGUGACCCCCUCCAAGACAUUAUUUUUUCCACCUAUAGCAACCUUGGAAAAUGGCAAUACAGAAUCUCAGUAGGUGCAGUCAUGACGCUCUUCAAUGGUCAUUUACUCAUUUGUGUCAAGAGACAGACCAAGAAAACAGUAGGUAGGUUCGUGUGUAGACUGGAGUGCCAUUUUCUUUUACAGGAGGUUGAUUCAUCAUCAUUAAGGAAAAGUGAAUAAAAGUAAUACUAAGCACAGGCCUAGGGACCAACGCAUCCCAGAGAAAAGGUUCCAUCAACUCAUAAGAAUAUUUCCACAUUGUUGAAUAAUAAUCAGGAAAAAUGCUCGUCUCUUGUGAAGGUCAUGCAAGUAAAAUCAUAGCACUAUUUAUCACAAGUAGUCCCUUUCACAAAGAAAUGUCAUAGAUGAAUGAAUAUUAUCGCAAGAUACUGGCUAUAGAGGUACAGGUAGAAGCGUAGAGCAUGGACUAAGGGAUUACCUCAUAUAAUACAUCUUUGCCAAAGUUUGCUCGAAGUAACUCUCCAACAUUUUCAAUGCAAGUCUCAAUGAGAACCUGCAAAGGAAAAAAGAAAACCUACAUUAGGACUAGGGGUACGUGACUAUGGGACCAUAGUAAUGUCAGGAUCAGGGUGUCAUGUGACUAAUGAGGGCGUAGUAAUGUUGCGACUAGGUGUUCUUUCACAAAUAAUCACCCUAAAAUCAUAGUACUAGUGCAAGAAUAAAUGUAGAUCUCUUGAGGGGGGACACUACAUGCUCAAAAAGAAAUGCCAUUGAAUAAAUAAAUAAAUAAGUUAAAUACAUGUUAAGAGUAUCACCUCGAAAAGUUCGCUUUUCACCAACAGUUCUUGCCUCCGUUUAAACGGGUCCUUCUUGCUAUCAGAUGCAACCAGUGUGUCUUCUGAACCCCCAUGUUCUUUUUCAGCUACAUCAUCCAACUUACUAUCCAAGUUAACUUUAGCAGCACCCUCUGAUGCCUCAUCCUGAAACAAAAAAAAGCAAAUUUCUGGGGGCUAUCUCUCUUCAGAGUACUUAACAGUUAAUAGGGUAGGUAACUUGCCUUUGAAAUAAGGGAAGGCACACUGUACUUCAGACAACUCAAAUCAGUCGGAGUCAGAUAACGUGAGCAAAGUGGGUGAAGUAGCUGCAGCAAUGGGCGUCUCCCGUUCUGUUCCAGCAAGGAGCUCCAUCAUAAAGUCUCAUGUACGUGUAACAAACAAAUAAAAAUAAGCAUAUCAGAAGCUCGUUAUUGCUUUUACCUUGUCAAAUAUGAGUUCCUUUAACUGUUUUGUCAGCUCUUCAAUUACAACCUACAAAUAAUGAAAGUAAGCUAUAAGCAUUGUCUCUUCAGAUUGCUUGUAAUGGCAGCAUAACACUUGCUUCAAGCAAAUGAUUGGUGCUGGCUAACCUUAGUAAGAAGUUUUGUGUCAUCAACAAUGGAGAGAAGACAAGCAAGGAACUGGAGAAAAAAAGAUAUGUUAGUUUAGUUGAUGAUUGAUCACUUGGAAGCAUAAAACCAUCUGAAAUUACUGUGGAUUGGGAGAAUGUUUUUGAACGUUAAAGCAUAAAAUUCACACAGUAAAACCCUAUUUGAAUACUAAAAUAUACUAUUAGAAAUAUAGACACCACUUACAAGGCAUCCAUAAUCACUGAGAGCAAGCUUCAUAACCUGACCCUUCAAGCUUUUGAUAAUUUUCUUCCUAUCCUGAAAUGCAUUACCAAGUUAAAUGAUAAAACCACACUGGAAAUAAGCAAGAAUAAAAAGAAGUACUACUGAACAUGCAGCAUGAGGCACUAACUAACGUACGGUUCUUCCCGAAAAAACAAAAAAACAAAAAACUAACACACGGUUCAAUUUGCAUGACUGUUUAGUGUCUAAAAUCAACAGAGGUUAAUAAAUAAACAUUGGAUAAAGCAGAUGAGUUGGCAAAGUUAAAAAAAGUGAUCACUCUGAAAUCUGUCUUUCUAGAUACAAAUAAGAAAACAGAAAGACAAAAAAAAGACAAUGUACCUUCGCACUGCCAUGCUUGAGGCAAGCAAGCCCUAAUUUUAAUCCUUCCCUGGUCUGCAUGAUACGAAUGAGAAGUGGUUCUGAAGAUCUUUUCUUCUUAGCUUUUGAUUUUGUUGGUACUUCAGCGACACCUGAUAGUUCAUCUCCAUCUACGACAGAUGACCCUUGAGUAAGAUGGGGAAUUAACUGACGAAUCACGUCCGAGGCUGAUGUCUACGAAACACAUGCAUAUAUUAGAUAGUGCAAUAAGCUGAAGAAAUAUUUCAUCAAAAAAGGAGAGCUUUGUUGUAAAGAUAGGCCAAUCGCGUCAAUAAAAUACAUUUACCUUGUCCGCAAUUGUUAAGUACUCCAAUAUGACCGUGUGUACUAUGGAAUACUCAACAAUACCUUUUUCCAAAACUGGCUGGAUAACAGUAGUCAUAUACUGCAGGACAGAUGAUUUCUGUAGUCCAAGCUUAGAAAUUGUUUCUAACAAACUGAAAAAGAAAGUUGAAUUUUAGGAUAUUGAACUAAAUAAGUAACUGCAGCCACCUAUGUCAGGAUAAGUGAAUGACUACAAUAAUAUUUCCGUCCGCCCAAGUUAAAGUUUUGUACAGAGAAGUAACAAAAGUUAAGGGGACACUACAAAGCAGAUGUAUGACAAGACAUUAUAGCGUGCCAACCUGCAUGAUUUUUGUUCAGUCAAGUCCUUGAACAGCUGAAGCUCGGUGGAGUACAAUUCCAACAACAAACUUCUUUUCUGAGGCGGUGUCGCCUGAUGAAAGGUGCAAUCAACAACUGCGAAAAAGAGUGCAUCUCAAUGUAAGAUUUCCAUGUACCCCUUUACUUGUAUAGCAAAUAGAAACGCAUGUGUACAAUGGCAUUCAACCAUUAACUCCUGCUGCUCCUAUACACGACAAGUUCCUAUCCCUUAUGACAAUAACACAUAGCAACACAUACCUGCAGCUCCUAUUGUGUGACGAAGUAGAGAAGCGACAUGACCAUGAAGGGAAGAGAUGAACAAGGCAAGCUGUUUUUUAGUGGCUGCAGUCACAAACAAGAGGUAUGUUAGUGAAGCUAUAAGGGUUAUCAUAUAUGAACUCAUACGAGUUUUUAGCGAAUUGUAGAGAACUUUACCAAGUUUUAUGAGCUUCUUCACAAGAAAAACAGCGUAUUUCUUGCGAGAGAAAUGGAGCAAAUGUGGCUGCAGGGCAACAAAAACAGCAUCCCUCUCUGGCUGUGAGCACCACUUCACACAUGUCUGAAAAAGGAAUGGCGACUAUCAGAAUAAGGACGAAAACACCAUAAGAAGCGCGUUCAUAAAGAGUGAAUAUCGUCAGCUUACCUGAAGAACACGUGCGGUUACAUGGGAUCCAGCAAUUUCAAAAUAUUUGCCAUCCAUUUUACGGAGAGCCUCAGUCACUAGCCUGUAGAGAUGACAAACGCAUCGGCAUAAGAAGUUGACCAUAAGUUGCAACUCACAAGACUUUAAUAGUGACGCUUACUUGGAUCUAUUCUCCUUGCUCACAUCACGGCAUCUCAUCUUUUCCCAUAGUACUGCCAGUUCCUGUCGAUAUUAGGUGUCGGCGGCACACCAAAUUAGAGUUGGCCAGAGUAUGGUUAACUGAAUCAUCAUAUACAGAGUGGUGGUUGAAGCAGGCACUGCUACUAUUUAUUACUGGGAUAAAAGUCAGUUUUUGCUUCAUUGUCAAAAUUAAGUAAUGCUACCAGCAGAAUUCAAGUCCAAAAGUAAAAAUCAAGAAUAUGUAAUACUCAGAGGUCAAUUAUUUUGGUUUAGGCUACAAGCAGCAUUACAUGAUUGUUUAUUAUGUAUGCAGCAAGUGUAAUCUGAAGAUUGAACAUACAAGGAAACGUGAUCAUAAUGGGAGCAUACGGUACAAAACAAAAAUUACCUUUUCGAGGUUGUAAUUGGGCUUCCUCUUCAUCUUCCUCGACUCGGACAUUUCCUGCCACAAUCGACACCAUUCCACAGCUUCAGCACAAGCACAAGCAGGACCAAAGCGCAAGCUCUCCAAACGAGCUAAACAAGGAAGGGGCACCGAUGGAAUACCUUGGCGGCGACCCGCUUGCCCUUGGCGGUGACGGGCUGCGGCUUGGCCUUGGCGGCAGGGGCGUCAUGGGUUUUCUUCCGCUUGGUGGCGUCGCCGCCUCCCUUGGACGGCGCCUUGGGCCUCCCCGCGGCCUCGCGCUUCCGCUUGUUGGCGCCCGGGUGGUCACCACCUCCGGCCAUGGGAACACGAGGCGGCGUCGGCGAACGGGGGAGGAUGAACGAGGGUUUACUGGUCGCAGCACCGGAGGAGGAUGCCCAGAUAGGUUCGUUCUAGUCUAGGGGGCAGUUCUUUUCACCUCACGAUUCUCCAGAAUCUGAUUCUGGGAAACUGCCCACAGAAUCAGCUGUCCAGUUCUUUUCUGUGAUUCUAGCAUGUGAUUAUUGUAUGAGUUGUGUGCUGAAAUGUCUGUAACGCCCCUAGAUUGAACUGAGUGCUGAAUUACUAAUACUUGGUUAUUUCUGAUAGUUUCAUGUCUAAUAUGAACACGAAAGCUAGUUGCAAAUUUAAUAUGAAUUUAGUAAGCAAAUUUGCUUGUCCUACAUCCGACAAACUGGUGUUUCCAGGGGCGCGGUUAUUUGCUCGCACCUCUUCUACGCACACAUCCAUAUAAAUGGAAUGAUACGCACUAUCCCAAAUUGCUUUAGGAUGCUUCACUUUCUCCAUCUAAAACAUCCAUAUGUGAACGUUUUAAUGUACACAAUUUUUUUCAUUGCUAAACAGAGUUAAAAAAGAGUUUGUAUUUUUUUCAUUGCUAAACAGAGUGUAUUUUUUCAUUGCUGACCAAAUUGCAUAUGUGUGUACUACAUGUGUGUACUAUCGCGAGCAGCAUCAGCCAAGCAGCAGCAGCAGCAGGAGCGAAGCAGAGCACCAGCAGCCAGGUGGAGCGUCCGUAGCCAUCCUAGAGAUGUAGGGGAGAGAGAAGCUCACCAGCAGAGGCAGGAGUUGCUGGAGCUCUUGAUGAUGGCGGCGGGCUGGACGGGGCGGCCGCGCGCGCAGGUGUUGGCCGACGGGACGGGGCGUAGGGGGUGGCGGGGAAGGAGACGGGGCGGCUGGCCGCACAGUUCUCCGGGAUGGCGGCGGACGGUCGGGGUCGCCGGCUUGUAGCGGAUCUGACGCCGCCGCGGCGGGGUCGAAGGCUGGCGGCACUGAACCCUAGCUGGGGACGAAACGAGCGAGCGGGCUAUGGUGCCUGCAAAUUUUCGUGUUUUGACCCCAGAUCUGACCCCGAUUUUAAAAUUUUGAGAUUUAUUAAUUUUUUUGCCGUCAGGGUUCACGACGGUUGAGUAUACGAGCCUAUCGCCGAGAUUCUUGACGGUAAAAAACUUAUUUAUAUCAAUGGGGCGCAUCUUUAUCGUCAAACAAAUUAGUAGCAGAAUGUACAACCCUACUAUCCGAAGAUAGGUGCGAGCAUGUACUGUAUACAAUACUUAAAAAAUAAAAAUACGAUAGGACAUGCUAACCUAUCGUUAAGGGUCUCGACGAUAGGUUGUUAUACCCUAUCGUCAUGGACCCUGAUGGUAGGAAAAGGAUCAAGUCCCAAAAUUUUACAAACAAGGAUCAGAUCUUGCUCAACUUUUAUGAAAGGAUCAAAACAUGAAAAUUAGCCUCUCGUGGCUCUAUGCAUCUGUCAUUUUGGGCCCCUAUUUCCAAUUGCUCUGAGUUCGGACAUUUUGAGGGUAAAUAACUCGUUUAAUAUGGGUAGAACAUUAAAACCAAAUGUUUUCUUUCGAGGGGCUCGGCAUAAUCGUGAGAAUCGCCAACAUUCUCUGAUUUUCAUUUGCACUACUAUUCUUGUGAUUUCCAGAUAAUUUUAAAGAAGAAAAUCAAAUUCCUUUGCGAUUGUUGAUUCUCUCAACGCGAUUGUUGAGAAUCACCUCAAAAGAACUGGCCCUAGGAUUUAUCGCCUGCCAAUACCAGUCUGUCACCCAACAACGUAUGAGGUGGGUCGCACAAUGGGCUUGUGACAGUUCCAUUCGGCCUAAGUUACGUAACUCGGCUCGUCAUUCGGCAACCUCUUGUAGACGAUCGGCCUACAGGAUCGUGUCUGACCCGACAAAGCGUGAGAGGGUUGUUUGGUCAAUCCACCGCGGGGGUGAGGGAGCGCGCGCAAGGGUUUUCAUUUUCCCCAAUUUCCCAUCAUGGAGGUCGUUGAACACGCCAACAAAUGGGCGAACGACGGGCAGGCGCGUGAGACGUUGACGCGUGGGCGACCGCGAGGCGGGGUGGCCUCAGUCGGUGCGAGGUGCGAGAUCUGACCUUGGUUUGGAAAAAAAAUCUAAAUAUCGAAUAUAGUGUGUGUUUUGACCCUUGUUUGAAAAAAAAUCUAAGUAUCAGAUACAAUGCGUGUUCUGACCCUAGUUUUCUAAGUAUUGGAUUCUUCAAAUAUUCUAAGGGUCAACUACUGUAAAAAUAUAUAUAUACGAUAAUCGACCCUUUUACCUUACUGUCAAAACACGCAUUGUAUGUGAUACUUAAAGGUGUGAGAUCUCGCUCAACUAUUGUAAAAUGGUCAAAACAACCUCGACGGUAGGCUGGUAUACCCUACCUUCAUGGACCCUGGUGGUAGGAAAAGGGUCAGAUCCCAAAAAAAUCAAACUCGGGUCAGAUCUGGCUUAACUUUUGGAAAAGGGUCCGAACACAAAAAAUUGGCCCGCGUUGUGUGGGGCGCCUCUUUUUGAGCACUUGUGGUGUCGACGUGCGAGCGAUCCGGCGUGGUGCGGCCGUUCAUGUGGUCGCGCUGGCGUGCUCUGACCGCACACGCGUGUAAGAGCAGUGGAGGAGUGGGAUGGAAACCCUGAAUGGAAUGUGAGGGCAUCGCGCUAUCGCUGGAUGGGAGGGAUUGGUUGGUUGGAGAUCUCGCGGAUAUCUCGUCGUACGUGGUCGGGAUGCAAUCUGAUAGGCGGGCCUUCUCAGGGUCUUGAGAAAUGUUAAUUUGCAUUGAUUGCAAUCGGGGUGCUGGAUUCUGUGGCGCAAACAAAAAAAUGGCCCGGAAGAAAGGAAUCAGUCUCUUCAGUCCAGCUCACCCUAUUAUCAUUAACAUAUUGUCAUUAAUGAAACUAUUUUGACCUUGAAGCAUGUUAUGCAAAGGCUUGAUAUAAUUGAAAAUAAAAUUUCCACUAAAUAACAAAUUGAGGAGUUGGAUAAAAUAUUCAUACUAAUAUCACUCAAUUUGGAUCAAAGGUAGGAUUUACUUUGAAAGCAUUAAAGGAGAAAGAUACAAUUAUUAAUGAGCGCGUAGAGCAAGAUUUGAGUAUUUUAUAUAAUGGAGGAAGUCACUGAUAAAGUGGGUUAUGCUUCCACACCCUCUAAAAUUAAUGCUAUUACCUCUCAAAGAAAAAUUCCAAGGUUAUGUAUGUCCCUAAGAACACUAGUAUCACUCCUAUCAAAAGAAAGAAGGAUAUUAAAAUGAUUAGUGUGCAUCCCAAUUUUAUAAACAUGAUAAGAGACCCUAUCUUCAAGCCUCCUAUUUUUUCUAAGAAGCAUGGUUGUGUGAUUGAGGAGUUUGACAAGAAUACAACACUUGAAACUAUGCAUUAUGAAUAACUAGGGGCGUAAAACGAUAGCGCUUGUUAAGAAGCAACCCAAGAGUCAUCUUAAUUUUAUUGUUCUAUUUUCUGUUUUGUGUGAGGUAACAUGAUUAUUGAUACUGUAAUUAUUGUGUUUUUAUGUUUAAAUUAGUGUUUGUGUUAAGUAAAGCCUUUUGGAUGAUUUGAAUGAUAAGUAGAAUUGAAACGGUGCAAAAACAGAAACUUUUGCGUCUAGUGCAGAAUUUCUCUAAUUUUACUGGAACAUCUUUUUGAUAUGAAUUUUUUACACAAUAUUGGUAUACAAAUUUUGCAGGUUUUCUUGACUUUUCAGAAUUACAGGAGUUAUAGAAGUAGGUUGUCUUUGGUGAUCACUACAGACUGUUCUGUUUUAGACAGAUUCUAUUUUUACUUGCAUAGUUUGCUUGUUUUGAUGAUGCUAUUGAUUAUAUCGAGGGGUAUAAUUCAUGGAGAAGUUAUAAUACAAUACCUUAUGCAAUAAUAAAAUAUGAAUCAAUUUAUAAUAGCACCCAAUGUUUAUGGUUCGCCUAUCCUACUAACAGAUCUCACGAGAUUUCUGUUGAGUUUUGUGUGGUGAAAUUUUCAAGUUUUGGGUGUUAUCACGAUGGACGGAGGAAUAAGGAGCGAAAAAGAGACUAAGCUUGGGGAUGCGCAAGUAACCACGAGUUAAAUUCUAGGAAGACUCAAGCGUCUAAGCUUGAGGAUGCCCCGGAAGGCAUCCCCUCUUUCGUCUCAAUCAAUCGACAUGUCACUUGAAGAUAUAUUUUUAUUCAUCAUAUGAUAUGAGUUUUGCUUGGAGCGUCGUUUAUUAUAGUUUGCUUUUGUUUUAAUUUCCCACAAUCAUUGUUUACUGGACACACCCACUUGAUAUAGACACAUGUUCAACAUGAUUUGUUAGAAUACUCUAUGUGUUUCACUUAUAUCUUUUGAGCUAAGCAGUUGCUCUAGCACUUCACUUAUAUUUUGUAGAGCACAGUGGCGUAUAGAUUUCUAGAAAUCAUUGCACUCUCGUUCUUCACUUAAACAUGUUUGAGAGUUAAUAAAUAGUGACGAUAAUUAAUAUGUGUUGUAAGACUAGUUAAAAAAUAAUAGGUAUUCAAGGAGUGCAUAAUCAAAUCCUUCAUGUAGCACAUAAAAGAGAAUUUGUGAGUUAAUGAUAUUGAUAUGCUAAUAUGAAAAGGGCGUGAGUGCAUGGUUGUUGGUUAGUAAAUAUAUCGAUAGUUAAAGGGUGUUAAUUUUUUUUGUUCAUCUAAAUAUUGGCUAUGGCAUGGUGAUGAUGUGUGAGCAUUCUUAUUCCUCAUUGAAAUCCUAGUGUUGUUUAGGUCGGGGGCGCGCGAUGGAUAACUCCUACCAACCUCCUCCCUAGGGGCAUGUGAGUAGUACUUUGCUUAGAGAAAUCUAAUAAAAUAUUGUGAUAAGUAUACGAGUUCUUAUGGCUAACGUGAAUCCAUGGAUCUACGGCAUCUCACCUCCUCAUGUUUGCUAGCCUCUUCGAUAUCAUGCGUUCUCACUCUCACCUCAAGGAUCGGUGCAAACUUCGGCCGUGCAUCCAAAUCCAACGACAUGAUACACUAUGUUGCACAUAAGACACCUUAUAUCUUCCUCAAAACAGUCACCAUACCUACUUAUCAUGACAUUUCCAUAUCCAUUCCGAGAUAUAUUGCCAUGCAACUUCCACCAUUACAUCAUAUGACUAGUACACUCAUUGUCAUAUUGCAUUGCAUGAUCAUGCAGCUGACAUAGUAUUUGUGACAAAGCCACCGUUCAUCAUUGUUAUAAAUGUUACGCUAGACCAUUGCACGUAUUGGUACACUGUCAGAGGCAUUCGUAUAGUCAUAUUGUUUAGUAGUUUUUUAUUGAGUUGUAAGUAAAUAGAAGUGUGACGCUUUUCAUUAUUAGGGCACUUUCUAAGUGAGGAAAGGAUGAUGGACACUAUGAAUCCCCACAAGUCGAGAUGAGACUCCGGACAAAAAAUAAAAUGAAAAAAUGAAAAAAAAAANNNNNNNNNNAGGAAAAAAUAAAUAAGACAAAAGAGAAGGGACAAUGCUACUACCUCUUUUUCCACGCUUGUGCUUCAAAGUAGCACCAUGUUUUUCAUAUAGAGUCUCAUGUAUUUGUCACUUUAAUAUGCUAGUGAGGUUUUUUCAUUAUAGAAAUUGACUUGUGUAUUCCGAUGACAGGCUUCCUCAAAUACCCGAGGUCUUCAUGAGCAAGCAAGUUGGAUGCACACCUACUCAAAUUCAGUUGAGCUUUCAUACACUUAUAGCUCUAGUGCAUCCUUUGCAUGGCAAUCCCUAUUCCACACAUUGAUAUUGACUGAUGGAUGUACCCAUAGCCCGUUGGUCCACCUAGUUGAGGCGAGACUUUCUUCUCCAUGUUUACCCCUUUGAAAACUACCACCAUAUUCUAUUCCACCUAUAUGCUAUGUCCAUGGUUCACACUCGUGUAUUGAGUGAGUAAUAAAAAGCCGAAGCACGUUAAGAAGUAUGACCCAAUUGCUUGGCUUAACACCGUGGUGCUUGAAAUUUAUAUUUAUGUGGUAAAGACGGAGCCAUGCCAUGCUAAUAUGUUAAAAUGAAUGGGGGUUAAACAAUCUUUAAAGAUCAUAUAUUUUGAAAAUUGAUGAUUAUGUUACCUAUGUUCAUGGAUAUUACUAUGUUGUUGUUUGUUAAUUCAUCAUUUCUCAAUGACAAUAUGUGCAAGAGAUUACAUGUUGGGUAGCAUGUCACAUCAAAAUUUAUGUUUUUAUCAUUUACCUACUCGAGGAUGAGCAUGAAUUAAGUUUGGGUUUAUGUUAAUACUACUCAUGAGAUUAUAUUGAGUUCCUUGCUGGUCUAUGCAUAUAUAUGCAUGAUUAUGAUAGCUUCAUAAUUCUUUCUGAUCUAUUGAUUUGGUUUGGCGGAUUGAUUUAUCUUCAGCGGGAGAGGUGCGUUGUAGUGGGUUAAGUCUUGCGGUGAUCAAUCCCACUGAUAGAAAGGGACAUGACACACAUUGUAUUACUGCCACUAAGGGUAAAACAAUGGAGUUGAUUCAUGUUAAUUGGAUUUGCUUUGUCUACAUCAUGUCAUUGUUCUCCAAGCAUUACUUUUUCCACUUAAUACUCUAGAUGCAUGUUGGAUAGCGGUCGAUGGGUGGAGUAAUAGUAGUAGAUGGCAGCAGUCGGUCUACUUGCUUACGUACAUGACGCCUACAUGUAAUGGUCAUUGCCAUGAAUAAAUAUUUCAUAAUUAACUACUUUUCUAUCAAUUGCCCAACAGUAAUUCGUAUACCCACCGUAUACUUUCUACGUGAGAGAAGUCUCUAGCGGAAACUUUGGCCCCCAGGUCUAUUCACAUAUGUAAAUACAAAAAAUACAAAAUCACUUGUUAUUCUUAUUUUCUUUCUAUUUAUUUUUCAUUUAUAUUUAUCAAACUAUCCAACCAUGCUACUUAUUACUUGCAAGUAACGAGUUCAAGGGGAUUGACAACCCUCCUACCAGUGUUGGGUGCAAGUGUGUGUGCUCUUUUGAGUGCGGGUGCUGAAGACGGGAAAUUUCAUGGUCCUCCUAUUGGUUCGAUAACCUUGGUUCUCGCUGAGGGAAAAGCCUACGUCUUGAUUUGUGUGUAUUGAUGAUGAUGAUCUCAAUUACAAGGGUGCGGAAUCGCUACCUCUAGUCUCGAGGGUUUCUAAUAUGUCUAUCUCUAAUGGUUUGUCUUGUCCAGACUUAAAUUGUUCCCCUUGGGGUGCCUUGCCACUCCCUGUAUAAGUUGAAGGGGUAGGCUUACAUAGAGUCCUACUAGGACUAGGAUUAGUCUCUCUUGAAUCCUAAUCCGGGUCUUGCUUCUCUUGUGAGGGAAUGUUUCCUCUUCCUAGGCCUUCUCUAUGAGCCAACCCUCCAGGCCUCUCCAAGAGUUGCCUUUCACCGGCUUGCACACUGGGCCUUAGUCCUUGUCGUCUAGGUCGACCCAGCGAGCAAGGUGACGUAUGAGCCACCAACCUCCUGGCUGGUUCAAAUCGUGGGGUAUAUCCUCAAGAGAGGGUCUCUACAUCAUCCCCGCUUCUCCAAUGGUGAUGUGUGAGUAAUUGACCACAAACCUGUUGGAAACAUGCCCUAGAGACAAUAAUAAAUUGCUUAUUAUUAUAUUUCCUUGUUCAUAAUAAUCGUUUAUUAUCCAUGCUAGAAUUAUAUUGAUUGGAAACUCAAAUACAUGUGUUCAUGCAUAGACAACAUACUGUCCCUAGUGAGCCUCUAGUCGACUAGCUCAUUGAUCAAAGAUGGUCAAGGUUUCAUGGCCAUAAACAAGUGUUGUCACUUGAUAACGAGAUCAAAUCAUUAGGAUAAUGAUGUGAUGGACAAGACCCACACUAUGAACGUACCAUAUGAUCGUGUCAGUUUAUUGCUAAUGUUUUCUGCAUGUCAAUGUAUCUGUUCCUAUGACCAUGAGAUCAUGCAACUCCCGGACACCGGAGGAAUACCUUGUGUGUAUCAAACGUCGCAACGUAACUGGGUGACUAUAAAGGUGAUCUACAGGUAUCUCCGAAGGUGUCUGUUGGGUUAGCGUGGAUCAAGACUGGGAUUUGACACUUCGUGUGACGGAGAGGUAUCUUGGGGCCCACUUGGUCAUACAACAUCACAAUGAGCCUCGAACGAAAUGUGACUAAGGAGUUAGUCAUGGGUUCUUGUAUUGCAUAACAAGUAAAGAGACUUGCGAGUAACGAGAUUGGACUAGUUAUAGAGACACCGACAAUCGAAUCUCGGGCAAGUAACAUAUCGAUGGACAAAGGGAACAACGUACGUGAUUAACUGAAUCCUUGACAUAGAGGUUCAACCGAUAAAGAUCUUCAUAGAAUAUGUAGGAGCCAAUAUGAGAAUCCACGUCCAGCUAUUGGUUAUGGACCGAAGAAUGUCUCAGGUCAUUUCUACAUAGGUCUCGAAACCGCAGGGCGUGCACCCUUAAGGUUAGGUGACAUUUCAGUAUUAUUGAAUUAUGUGUGUUGGUAACCGAAAGUUGUUCGGAGUCACAGAUGAGAUCCUGGACGUCAUGAGGAGCUCCGGAAUGGUCCGAAGGUAAAUAUUUAUAUAUAGGAAAGUUGCAUUUGGCUUCCGAAAAGUUUUCGGGCAUUACCGGUAAAGUACCGGGAGUGACAAAUGGGUUCCGGGGUUUUUACCGGGAGGGGCCACCCACCCAGGAAAGAACUUAAUAGGCCUAAAGGUGGUGCACCCGCCCUUAGUGGGCUGGUGCGUCCAGCCUAAGAGGGCCUAUUUUGGCCAAGGAACAAAAGAAGGGGAAAACCCCAAAGGAGAGGAGGUUUCUGUGACAGCCCGAUGCCGACGUUCCAGAAGAUUCCCCUUUUCUUUCCGUUUUCGUCGUGUGUCUAUUUUCUUUUGUCGCAUCAUUAUCGCAUCAUGCACAUCAUCUGCAUUGCAUCGGCACCCCGUUGCCGCCAGUUUUCAAAACAUGUGUCCGUUGUUAGUUGCCGGUUCUCGUCGUUGUCCGUUCUGAGCCCGACCGCACACGCACGCGCCCGCGGCACCGUCGAAACCCUGUUUUUAAAGUGUGCAUAAAACUUUCUCUGAUCGGGGUGAGAUUUGACGUGAGGUAUUAUUUUAAUAUAGGUAGGCCACCUGUCAAAUUUCGUCGCGAUCGGGGUUAGUGUGGUACCCGAACGGUCGACCGUAGCGGCACCGUAUUCAGUCUAUCGUCGCACGUGUCCCGGUGUUUUAAAUCGCGUUGCCGCGCCGCCCGUUUUCCAUGUCGUCUCUGGAUAACUACUCUACACAAGCCACCGAACCUAACCCGAAGAUCAGAGCCGUCCGAUUGUGAUUGAACGGCUCGGAGCAGGCUAAAAAUAGCUAACCUACCCUAUUGCCUAUAAAUACCCCACUCCUAGCCUAUUUUGGACAAACCCUAAAAUCUAGGGAUCUGUCCCGUUGAGGCCGCCGCCACUUCAAGGAAUCCCUCGGGAUCCAUCUCAGGCAAACCUCCACCUCUCCCUUGAUCUGAUCCAGCCAACCCCCAAAGCCAGCCCGUUGACCAUCUAUGCCUAUCGGAUCUAGAGAUCCAAUGGAUACCAGCAGCUGCGGGACGGAACGCCUCGUCCCCGCAUCCCGUGCCUCGAUCCAGAGAGGAUCUAGAGCAACGCCAGGACGCCGCCGCGCGUAGUGCACCAACGUCAACCAGUUUCGGAGCCGGCCGCCGGACGCAAGCCAGAGAUCGCCUCCCUUGCCCUCUCUCCCUGUUCCCCCAUAUUUUUUUCUCAUCUCUCCGUGUGCUCGUUUCUUCUACAAGGAGCAGAACGGGAGACCGCCGACCGUGCCCCUGUCUGUCUUUUGCGAGAGAAGCACCGAGCCAGCACCGGCCCCUGCAUCUCUCUCUUCUCUGCAUCUUCAGGUGCAGCCAACGGAGGCCAUGGAGCUCGAGCCGCCCUUGCCCGGAUCCGCGUCAUCCCCAAGCCCCGCGACUCCUCCACCUGCACGAGAUCAUGUCGAUGAUGUCUUCGUUCCAUUCCCGGCCUCCCAGCUCGCCGUCUUCGCCGGAGCAUCGCGCCGCCGGCCCCUAGUUCCCCGUGGAGAGCAGCCAAAGUCACCCCUAUACGUGCUAGUUUCAGCAAGGUACACAGACAUACCCUGUUUCAGAUGCAGUUUUGUUCAGGUUUACAUUCAGCAUGGUUGUGUGCUCAUCUACAGAAGGAACCCACUUUUAACACGAACCCAUUUGUAGCUCAGUUGGUCACAAUGUUGCACCUACACCCAGUAGACUAGGGAUCGAAUCCCAGUGGCUCCAAUAUAGUUUUUUAGCGUUUUGCGUUGUCAUUCACCAGCUAUGCAUAUUAGGUAUAACCAGGCGAAUGCAUUAUGUAGCACAAGGACAUAUCUAGCCCACUGGUGACACAUGCUAGGACACCGAAGGAGGUCUUGGGUUCGAAACCUGGACUGCCCCUAUUAUUUUUGCUUUUGUGCCAUGUUUGAUUUUCGUUUUGCACACCCAAGCAAGUGGGCACAGAGCUCCCAGUGGCUGCAGCCCAGUGCACAGAUUCGGCCCAUACGUUUUUUUAUUUUAUUUUAACCUGCAAUUUUAUUUAUUUUUAGAAAAACGCAUUGAUUUUCAAAAGAGCGUAGUUUCUAAACCGUGCGACGGAUCAGAAUGGGUUAUAUAUGUAGAACGUGUAGAAUUUUAUGUAGAUUAAUAUUUUUCAACUUUCAUGCAUAAUUAGAACUGUUUAGUGUGAUGUUUACCUCGUUUUGCAUGUCGACAUGUUGAAACGGUUUAGGUCGUAACUAUUUGUCCGUAGCUCCGUUCGAGAUGUGCCAUAUAUGUAAAUGGAGCAGAACGACGAGUAGAAUCACGUGAAUCACUUUGUUUUGCCGUUUAACAAACCUAAAAUGUUAUUAUGACAAGUCUGGACAGAAUUAAGAUUUAACAUGUGGGGUCAUUUCAGAGAUGCUAUAUGUCGUUUCCGGUCUCAUUUAAAAUGUCUAGCUAGGUAGAUUAAUUUGUGCUUCACCCUCGUGCCAUGUUUAAUAACAUUUAAUAUAGUCAUGUACCUGAACGGGAGCGAACUAAAUAAUUAGAGUGGAGUUUCGUCGAUAUGCAACUCGUUGCAUACCGAGCUUCACUUAAUGUGUAGUGUUUGGUUGUUGUGUUUGUCAUGCCUUGCAUUAGACCGUUCAUGCUUCAUAUGGGUUGUGCAUUGUGUGGUGUAUAUCGUGUGUUGAUGCUUGUUUCCGUUUCCCUCCGUCUCGUUAGAGUUCCGCAAGCGUGUCGGAUGUGAGGACCGUUCGACUGCAUCGGUUCGUCUGCUUCACGGAGUCAUUCUUCUUCCAAGCGGGAUCUCAGGCAAGAUGACCAUUUCCCCAGAUACCAUUACUAUCAUUGCCAUGCUAGUUAUACCGCUUCUUCGAUUAUGUCUCAUUGCCUACCACAUGUUAAAUAUCAGCCUCUCAACAAUGCCAUGAAACCUUCAACCUGUUCGACCUAGCAAACCACUGAUUGGAUAUGUUACCGCUUGCUUAACCCUGGGUUAGCGUUGCUAGUUGCAGGUGCAGUUGCUUCCAUGUGAUAACAUGGGUCCCUUGUUAUAUCACCCUAUUAAAUGCUAUCUAUUUUAAUGCACCUAUAUACUUGGUAAAAGGUGGAAGGCUCGGCCUUNNNNNNNNNNNNNNNNNNNNNNNNNNNNNNNNNNNNNNNNNNNNNNNNNNNNNNNNNNNNNNNNNNNNNNNNNNNNNNNNNNNNNNNNNNNNNNNNNNNNNNNNNNNNNNNNNNNNNNNNNNNNNNNNNNNNNNNNNNNNNNNNNNNNNNNNNNNNNNNNNNNCAUAAUUGAGCGCUCCUAACACGAUCCGGGUUGUUAUGGGGACCCCCUUGAUAAUUCGUUUUAGAUUAAAGCUGGUCUGGCAAGGCCCAACUUUGGUUUUACAUUUGCCCAACAUAAUAAUUCUGAUAAUACUGAAAUGCAUAGGGAGUUAGCGCUACCCGAGGAGUAAUUUUACAUAAACAGGAGGGGCCAGUGUUGAUGGUGUUGGUCCCAAACGGUCUGCCUGCGGGGCCACCGCGAGGAAACUAGAGGUUUGGCACUCGUAGCUAGUUCCAUCUGUCGUGUCCUGAGAACGAGAUACGCGGCUCCUAUCGGGUACGUCGACACGUCGGGCGGCCUUGCUGGAUUAGUUUUACCUUUGACAAGAUAUAUUCUGCCUCCUCCACUCCCUCCCUCCUAUACAUACUAGAGGGCAAAUAGGCUUUUUGCACCUCAAGCCAAAGCGCAACCCUCUCUCCCUCUAGAUCAUUUGCUCCUCUUGAUUAGUUCCGCAGAAGCUUGGCGAAGCCCUACUGGAUUAGUUCACCACCACCACCACCACCACGCCGCCAAGCUGGAGAACUCAUCUACCUCUCCGCCCCUCUUUUUGGAUCAAGAAGGCGGUGAUCGUCAUCAAGCCGCAUGUGUGCUGGACGUGGAGGUGUCGUAUAUUCGGCACUAGACCGGGACGGUUUGUGAUGAGAUCGCGGGAAGGACUGUGAUUUGGAUCACGAAGAUGUUCGACUAUAUCAACCGCGUUAUAUACGCUUCCGCUUAGUGAUCUACAAGGGUAUGUGGAUCCAAUCUCUCCUCUCGUAGAUGGUCAUCGCCAUGGAUAGAUCUUAUGUGCGCGUAUGAAUUUUUUUGUUUCCCAUGCGACGUUCCCCAAGAGUGUCAUCUUGAGCUAGGUAUAUGCGUAGAUAAUAUCUCGAGUAGAACACCAAAGAGUUUGUGGGCAUUGUUGUUCAAUUUGCUGCCCUCCUUAGUAUUUUCUUGAUGCAACGGUAUUGUUGGAUUGAAGCGGCCCGGACCAACCUUACUUGUACGCUUACGAGAGACCAGUUUCAUCGACUAACAUGCAACUUGUUGCAUAAAGAUGACUAGCGAGUGUUUGUUUCUUCAACUUUAGUUGAAUCGGAUUUAACCAAAGCGGUCCUUGGAGAAGGUUAAAUAGAAACUUGCAUAUCACCAUUGUGGUUUUGCGUAAGUAAGAUGCGAUCAUACUAGAUGCCCAUAACAGCCAUGUAAAACUUGCAAUAACAAAUUAGAGGACGUCUAACUUGUUUUUUGCAGGGUAUGUUGUGAUGUGAUGUGGCCAUAGACAUGAUAUGAUAUAUUGGAUGUAUGAGAUGAUCAUGUUGUAAUAGUUAAAUAUCGACUUGCACGUCGAUACUACGACAACCGGCAGGAGCCAUAGGGUUGUCUUUAAUUAUUUUGCGCUUGGUGAUGCUUUGCUUUAUCGCUAGUGGUAGCUUUAGUAGUAACAUCAUAGUUAGUGCGACAACGUCGAUGGCAACACAAUGAUGGAGAUCAUGGUGUGGCGCCUGUGAUGAUGGAGAUCAUGUUGGUGCUUUGGUGAUGGAGAUCAAGAAGCACAAGUUCGUGGCCAUAUCAUGACACUUAUGAUUUGCAUGUGAUGUUAAUCCUUUUAUGCACCUUGUUUUGCUUAGCACGAUGGUAGCAUUAUAAGGUGAUCCCUCACUAAAAUUUCAAGAUAAAAUUGUGUUAUCCCUCACUGUGCACCGUUGCAACAGUUCGUAGUUUCGAGACAUCACGUGAUGAUCGGGUGUGAUAGACUCUACGUUCACAUACAACGGGUGAAAAACAGUUGCACACGUGGAACACUCAGGGUAAACUUGAAGAGCCUAGCAUGUACAUACAUGGCCUAGGAAUACAAGAGAUCGAAAGGUCGAACAUGAGUCAUAUAGUGGAUAUGAUCAACGUGGAGAUGUUCACUAUUGAAGCUAAACUCAACUCACGUGAUGAUCGGACUUGAGUUAGUGAAUUUGGAUCAUGUACCACUCGAAUAACCAUAGGGAUGUCAAUUUGGGUGGGAGUUCUUAAGUAAUAUGAUUAUUUGAACUCAUUAUCAUGAACAUAGUCAAAAGGUCUUUGCAGAUUAUGUUGUAGCUUGCAUUGUAGCUCUACUAUUUUUGAUAUGUCCUAUAGAAUAUUUAGUUGAAAGAUGACAGUAGAAAUUAUGCGGACUAGGUUCGUAAACUAAGGAUUGUCCUCAUUGCUGCACAUAAGGCUUAUGUCCUUAAUGCACCGCUCGAUGUGGUGUACCCCGAGCAUCGUCUGUGGAUGUUGCGAACAUCUGACAUACACGUGUUUGAUGACUACGUGAUAGUUCAGUGAGUAAUGCUUAACGGCUUAGAAAUGAGGCGCCGAAGACAUUUUGAACGUCACAGAACAUAUGAGAUGUUCCAAGAGAUGAAAUUGGGAUUUCAGGCUCGUGCCCGUGUUGAGAGGUAUAAGGCCUCCGACAAGAUUCUUUGUCUACAAAGUAAGGGAGAAAAGCUCAAUCGUUGAGCAUGUGCUCAGAUUGUCUCGGUAUUACAAUCGCUUGAAUCAAGUGGGAGUUGAUCUUCCAGAUAAGAUAGUGAUUGGCAUAGUUCUCCAAAGUCACUGCCACCAAGCUACAGAGCUUUGUGAUGAACUAUAAAAUAUGAUGGAUAGAUAUGAUGAUCCUUGAGUUAUUCGCGAUGUUUGACACCGCGAAAGUAGAAAUCAAGUGGGAGCAUCAAUUUUUGAUGGCUAGUAAAACCACUAGUUUCCAGAAGGGCAAGGGCAAGAAGGGAUACUUCAUGACUGGCAAACCUGUUGCCACUCUAGUGAAGAAACCCAAGGUUGAACUCGAACCCGAGACUAAGUGUUUAUGAUAUGAAGGGAACAAUUACUAAAGCAGCACCACCCUUGAUACUUGGUAGAUGAGAAGGCUGGCAAAGUCGCCGAAAGUAUAUUGGAUAUACAUGAUAUUGAUGUGUACCUUACUAGUACUCCUAGUAGCAUCGGGGUAUAAGAUACCGGUUCAGUUGCUAAGUGUUAGUAACUCAAAAUAAAAUCUAUGGAAUAAAUGGAGACUAGCUAAAGGUGAGGUGAUGAUGUGUGUUGGAAGUGUUUUCAAAGUUGAUGUGAUCACCAUCGCACGCUCCCUCUACUUUCGAGAUUAGUGUUGAACCUAAAUGUUGUUUGUUGUUUGCGUUGAGCAUGAGCAUGAUUGGAUUGUAUUUAUUGCAAUACAAUUAUUCAUUUAAAGAGAAUAAUAGUUAUUUUGUUUACUUGAAUAAUACCUUCAACAGUCAUGCACCUAAUAUGAAUGGUUUAUUGAAUCUUGAUCGUAGUAUUACACAUGUUCAUAAUAUUUGAUGCCAACAUAUACAAAGUAGUAAUGAUCAUAUCACUUACUUGUGGCAUUGCUGCUUGAGUCAUAUUGGUAUAAAAUGCAUGAAGAAGCUCCAUACCGAUGGAUCUAUGGACUCGCUCAUUUUUGAAAUGUUACAGACAUGCGAACCAUGUCUAUUGGUCUAAACGCAUAAAAGAAACUCCAUGCAGAUGGAUCAUUUGGACUCACUUAAUUUUGAAUCACUUGAGACAUGCAAAUCAUUCCACAUGGGCAAGAUGACUGAAGGCCUCGUUUUCCAGUGAGAUGGAACAAGAAAGUAAAUUAUUGGAAGUAAUACAUUUUGAUGUAUGCAGUCCAAUGAGUGUUGAGGCACGCAGUGGAUAUCAUUAUAUUCUUACUUCACUCAUGAUUUGAGUAGAUGCAAGAGUAUUUGCUUGAUGAAUCACAAGUCUGAAAUAUUGAAAAGUUCAAGCUAUUUUAGAGUGAAGAUCGUCGUGACAAGAGGAUAAUAUGUUUACGAUGUGAUCGUGGAGGUAAAAUCUGAGUUGCGAGUUUGGUAGACAUUGAAAACAACGUGAAAAUUGUUUCACAAUUCAUGCCACGUGGAACACCAUAGUGUGAUGGUGUGUGUGAACACCAUAGUUGCGCCCUAUUGGAUGUGGUGCAUACUAUGAUGUCUCUUAUCGUAUUACCACUAUUGUUUUUGGGCUAGGCAUUAGAGACGACCGCAUUCACUUUAAAUAGGGUACCACAUAAGUCCGUUGAGAUGACACCGUAUGAACUAUGGUUCGGAGAAACCUAAGCUGACGUUUCUUAAAAGUUUGGGGCUAUGACGCUUAUGUGAAAAAGUUUCAGCGUGAUAAGCUCGAACCCAAAGCGGAUAAAUGCAUCUUCAUAGGACACACAAAACAGUUGGGUAUACCUCCUAUCUCAGAUCCAGAAGAAAAGUGUUUGUUUCUAGAAACGGGUCCUUUCUCGAAAAAAGUUUCUCUCGAAAGAAUUGAGUGGGAGGAUGGUGGAACUUGAUGAGGUUUUGAACCAUCACUUCAACCAUAGAGUAGAAGGCCGCAGGAAACUAUUCUUAUGGCGCCUACACUAGUUGAAGUGGAAGCUAGUGAUGGUGAUCAUUAAGCUUCAGAUCAAGUUACUUCGAAACCUCGUAGGUCGAAAGGGACACACACUACUCCAGAGUGGUACGGUAACUCUGUCUUAAAGGUCAUGUUGUUAGACAACAAUGAACCUACGAGCUAUGGAGAAGCGAUGGUGGGCCUGGAUUCCGACAAAUGGUCGAAGGUCAUGAAAUCCGAGAGAGGAUCCAUGUGUGAAAACAAAGUGUAGACUUUGGAAGAACUACUUGAUGGUCGUAAGGCUGUUGGGUACAUAUGGACUUUUAAAAGGAAGACGGACAAAUGGUUGGAGGCCAUGAAAUCUGAGAGAGGAUCCAUGUAUGAAAACAAAGUGUGGACUUUGGAAGAACUACUUGAUGGUCGUAAGACUGUUAAGUACAGAUGGAUCUUUAAAAGGAAGACAAACGAUGAUGGUGAAAAGUCACCAUUAAGAAAGCUCAACUUGUCGCAAAGAUGUUUCCGACAAGUUCAAAGAGUUGACUAUGAUGAGACUUUCUCACUCGCAGCGAUGCUAAAAGUUUUGUUGGAAUUAUGUUAGAAGUUGCUGCAUUAUUUAUGAAAUCUUGCAAAUAGGAUGUCAAAACAUUGUUUCCUCGAUGGUUUCCUUGAGGAAAGGUUGUAUGUGAUACAACCAGAAGGUUUUGUCGAUCCUAAGGAUGAUAACCAGUAUGCAAGCUCCAGCAAUCCUUCUAAGGACUGGAGUAAGCAUCUCAGAGUUGGAAUAUGCGCUUUGAUGAGAUGAUCAAAGCUUUUGGGUUUAUACAAAGUUUAUGAGAAACUUGUAUUUCCAAUAAAGUGAGUGGGAGCACUAUAGAAUUUCUGAUAAGUAUAUGUGAUCAGAAAUAAUGUACAAUUUCUGGAAAGCAUAAAGGGUUGUUUGAAAGGAGUUUUUCAAAGGAAAACCUCGAUUGAGCUACUUGAACAUUGAGCUUAAUAGAACUUUCAAAUGAAUAUAUACUGUAACAAGAUUUUGAAGGAGUUCAAAAUAGAUCAGUCAAAGAAAGAGUUCUUGGUUGUGUUAUAAGGCGUGAGUAUUGAGUAAGACUCAAAAUCCGACCACGGUGGAAGAAAGAGAAAGGACGAAAGUCGUCCCCUAUGCACUAGCCGUAGGCUCUAUAGUAUGAUAUGUUGUGUACCGCACCUGAUGUGUGCCUUGGAAUGAAUCUGCCAAGGGGCAAAGAAGUGAUCCAGGAAUGGAUUACUGGACAACGGCCAAAAGUUGUCCUUAGUAACUAGUGGACUAAGGAAUUUUUUCUCGGUUAUGGAGGUGAUAAAAGAGUUCGUCGUAAAGGGUUACAUCAAUGAAGCUUUGACACUAAUUCAGAUGACUCUGAGUAGUAAACCGGAUUCGUAUAGUGGAGCAGUCAUUUGGAAUAGUUCCAAAUGGCGCGUGGGAGCAACAUCUACAGGACGACAUAGAGAUUUGUAAAGCACACACGAAUCUAAAAGGUUCAGACCCGUUGACUAAAAACCUCACUCACAAGCAAGAUAUGAUCAAACCCCAUGGGUGUUAGAUUCAUUGCAAUCACAUAGUGAUGUGAACUAGACUAUUGACUCUAGUGCAAGUGGGAGACUGUUGGAAAUAUGCCCUAGAGGCAAUAAUAAAUUGGUUAUUAUUAUAUUUUCUUGUUCAUAAUAAUCGUUUAUUAUAUAUGCUAGAAUUGUAUUGAUUGGAAACCCAAAUACAUGUGUGGAUACAUAGACAACAUACUGUCCCUAGUGAUCCUCUAUUUGACUAGCUCGUUGAUCAAAGAUGGUCCAGGUUUCCUGGCCAUAGACAAGUGUUGUCACUUGAUAAUGAGAUAACAUCAUUAGGAUAAAGAUGUGAUGGACAAGACCCAAACUAUGAACGUAGCAUAUAAUCGUGUCAAUUUAUUGCUAUUGUUUUCUCGAUGUCAAUGUAUUUGUUCCUAUGACCAUGAGAUCAUGUAACUUCCAGACACCGGAGGAGUACCUUGUGUGUAUCAAAUGUCUCAACGUAACUGUGUGACUAUAAAUGUGCUCUACAGGUAUCUCCGAAGGUAUCUAUUGGGUUAGCAUGGAUCAAGACCGGGAUUUGUCACUCCGUGUGACGGAGAGGUAUCUCGGGGCCCACUCGGUAAUACAACAUCACAAUAAGCCUUGCAAGCAAUGUGACUAAGGAGUUAGUCACGGGAUCUUGUAUUAUGGAACGAGUAAAGAGACUUGCGAGUAACGAGAUUGAACUAGGUAUAGAGAUACCGACAAUCGAAUCUCGAGCAAGUAACAUACCGAAGGACAAAGGGAACAACAUACGAAAUUAACUGAAUCCUUGACAUAGAGGUUCAACCGAUAAAGAUCUUUGUAGAAUAUGUAGGAGCCAAUAUGGGCAUCCAGGUCCCGUUGUUGGCUAUUGACCAGAGAAUGUCUCAGUCAUGUUUACAUAGUUCUUGAACCCGUAGGGUCUGCACACUUAAGGUUCAUUGACGUUUCGGUAUUAUUGAGUUGUGUGUGUUGGUAAAAAAAAGUUGUUCGGAGUCCUGGAUGAGAUCCUGGACAUCACGAGGAGCUCCGUAAUGGUCCGGAGGUAAAUAUUGAUAUAUAGGAAAGUUGCAUUUGGCUUCUGGAAAGUUUUCGGGCAUUACCGGUAAAGUACCGGGAGUGACGAAUGGGUCCCGGGGUUUUACCGGGAGGUGCCACCCACCCGAGAGAGAACAUAAUAGGCCUGAAGAUGGUGCACCAUCCCUUAGUGGGCUAGUGUGGCCAGCCCAAGAGGGCCUAUUUCGUCCAAGGAGCAAAAGAAGGGGAAAAUCCCCAAAGGAGAGGAGGUUUCCAAGUAGGAGGAGUCCUACUUGGAGUAGGAUUGGAGGUGGACUCUUCCACCUCCACGUAUUCGGCCGAGCCAAGUAUUUGCUUUUUGGCUGCCUCCUCCCCUCCCUCCCUCCUAUAUAUACUAGAGGGUAGAGAGGCUUUUUGCACCUCAAGCCAAGGCGCAACCCUCUCUCCCUCUAGAUCGUUUACUCCUCUUGGUUAGUUCCGCAAAAGCUUGGCGAAGCCCUACUGGAUUAGUUCACCACCACCACCACCACACCGCCAUGUUGGAGAACUCAUCUACCUCUCCGCUCCUCUUGCUGGAUCGAGAAGGCGGUGAUCGUCAUCAAGUCGUACAUGUGCUGAACAUGGAGCUGUCGUUCGUUCAGCACUCGAUCGGGAUGAUUCGUGAUGAGAUCGCGAGACGGACUGCGAUUUGGAUCGCGAAGAUGUUCAACUACAUCAACCGCGUUAUAUACGCUUCCGCUUAGCGAUCUACAAGGGUAUGUGGUGUUGGAAAUAUGCCCUAGAGGCAAUAAUAAAUUAGUUAUUAUUAUAUUUCUUUGUUCAUGAUAAUCGUUUAUUAUCCAUGCUAUAAUUGUAUUGAUUGGAAACACAAUACUUGAAAGGAUCGAUAUGGUUGGCUAGACGGAGGGGGUGAAUAGACAACGACCACUUUUUAAUUAAUCUUAACAAGUUAAGGUAAACACUAUACGGGUUCACAAAUAAUAUGACAAAGAGGUGAACCCUAUAGAAGCUAACAACUAGAGCUAUUAAGACAAGUAAGAUAUAGUCACAAGCAUAAGCAAAUACAAAGUAAAGGUUAGAGAUAACCACAAGUGGAACCGAUGGAGACGAGGAUGUGUUACCGAAGUUCCUUCCCUUUGACAUGAAGUACUUCUCCGUUGGAGCGGUGUGGAGGCACAAUGCUCCCCAAAAAGCCACUAAGGCCACCGUAUUCUCCUCACGCCCUCGCACGAUGCAAGGUACCGUGAUUCCACUAUAGGUGCCCUUGAAGGCGGCGACCGAACCUUUACAAACAAGGUUGGGGCAACUCCACACAAAGCUUGGAGGCUCCCAACUAAACCACGAAGCUUCACCACAAUGGAAUAUGGCUUCGAGGUGACCUCAACCGUCUAGGAUGCUCAAACACCCAAGAGUAACAAGAUCCGCAAGGGAUUGGUGGGGGAAUCAACUUUUCUCUUGGUGGAAGUGUGGAUCUAGGCCUUCUCAACCAAUCCCUAAAGAAUCAACAAGUUUGAUUGGCUAGGGAGAGAGAUCGGGCACUUUAGAGCUUGUGGAGCAACAAUGGAGCUUAGAGAGGUAAGAGAUAGGGUUCCUCAGCUAGAAGAACCCUUUAUAUAGUGGGGGGGGAAUCAGACCGUUUUCCCACUCUCUGCCCGAGUACCAGCGGUACUACCGCUGUGCCGGAGCGGUACUACCGCUGGGCCUCCAGCGGUACUACCGCUGAGCCUCCAGCGGUACUACCGCCGGCCCCUUGGUAGUGCACAAGGACUACUACCUCCGGGAAAGUCUUCGCAAAAGGGUCCGUCCACAAACUACCGCUAGGUAGGUGGAACAAAACACCUGGAGCGGUACUACCGCUGACCAGGGGCGGUACUACCGCUGGCUGCAGCGGUACUACCGCUGGCAGUCCAGCGGUACUACCGCUGGGGACCAUUUUGCAGAGAUAAACGAGACGAAUAGGCGAGGGCUGCUCCAAAAGAUAAGGAAAGGGAGAAUGUGAAGUGUGCGUGUGUAAAGAUAGAUUCCACCCAAACCUUUCCACUACGGAUCCCCUCUUAAUAGUACGGGUUUCCUAUGACUCAAAUAAAGAGAAUCGUAGAGAGCGCCGUGCUUCCGUUCCUGAAGAGAGGAGACGUGUCGUCUUGUGCCGUUGACGAGUGUUACCUGAAACUUUGACACACACGGUUAGUCCUGUACGGUACUGUCAUCAAUCACCAAAAUUACUUAGGCAUAAACUAUGCCCCAACAAUACUUGUGUGGAUACAUAGACAAAACACUGUCCCUAGUAAGCCUNNNNNNNNNNAAUGUAGAAUUUAUGUAAAGCAUACAAGGUUGUUUGAAAGGAGUUUUCAAAGGAAUACCUGGAUUGAGCUACUUGAACGUUGAGCAUCAAAAGAUCUAUGGAGAUAGAUCGAAAGCGCUUAAUGGAAGUUUCAACAAGAUGCAUGCCUUGACAAGUUUUUGAAGGAGUUCAAAAUAGAUCAGCAAAGAACGAGUUCUUAGUUGUGUUGUAAGGUGUGAAUUUGAGUAAGACUCAAAACCCGACCACGGCAGAAUAAAGAGAAUAGACGAAGGUCGUCUUCUAUGCCUUAGCCGUAGACUCUAAAGUAUGCCAUGCUGAGUACCGCACCUGAUGUGUGCCUUGCAACAAGUCUGUUAAGAGCUACACAGAGUGAUCCAGGAUUGAAUCACUGAUCAGCGGUCAAAGUUAUCCUUAGUAACUAAAUAGACUAAGGAAUUUUUCUCGAUUAUGGAGGUGCUUAAAGAGUUCGUCGUAAAGGGUUACGUCGAUGCAAGCUUUGACACUAAUCCGAAUAACUAUGAGUAGUGAAACGGAUUCGUAUAGUAGAGCAGAUAUUUGGAGUAUUUCCGAAUAGCACAUAGUAGCAGCAUCUAUAAGAUGACAUAAAGAUUUGUAAAGAACACACGGAUCUGAAAGUUUCAGAACCGUUGACUAAAACCUCCCUCAAGAGCAAGACGUGAUCAGACCCCAUAACUAUAUGGGUGUUGGAUUCGUUGGAAUCACAUGGUGAUGUGAACUAGAUUAUUGACUCUAGUGCAAGUGGGAGACUGUUGGAAAUAUGCCCUAGAGGNNNNNNNNNNNNNNNNNNNNNNNNNNNNNNNNNNNNNNNNNNNNNNNNNNNNNNNNNNNNNNNNNUAUUGGAAACACAAUACUUGUGUGGAUACAUAGACAAAACACUGUCCCUAGUAAGCCUCUAGUUGACUAGCUCGUUGAUCAAAGAUGGCCAAGGUUUCCUGGCCAUAGGCAAUUGUUGUUACUUGAUAACGGGAUCACAUCAUUAGGAGAAUCAUGUGAUGGACUAGACCCAAACUAAUAGACGUAGCAUGUUGAUCGUGUCAUUUUGUUGCUACUGUUUUCUGCGUGUCAAGUAUUUGUUCCUAUGACCAUGAGAUCAUAUAACUCACUGACACCGGAGGAAUACUUUGUGUGUAUCAAACGUCGCAACGUAACUGGGUGACUAUAAAGAUGCUCUACACGUAUCUCCGAAGGUGUUAGUUGAGUUAGUAUGGAUCAAGACUGGGAUUUGUCACUCCGUGUGACGGAGAGGUAUCUCGGGGCCCACUCGGUAAUACAACAUCACACACAAGCCUUGCAAGCAAUGUGACUUAGUGUAAGUUACGAGAUCUUGUAUUACGGAAUGAGUAAAGAGACUUGCCGGUAAACGAGAUUGAAAUAGGUAUGCGGAUACUAACGAUCGAAUCUCAGGCAAGUAACAUACCGAAGGACAAAGGGAAUGACNNNNNNNNNNGUUGAAAUAGGUAUACAGAUACUGACGAUCGAAUCUCGGGCAAGUAACAUACCGAAGGACAAAGGNNNNNNNNNNGGAUCUUGUAUUAUGGAACGAGUAAAGCGACUUGCCGGUAAACGAGAUUGAAAUAGGUAUGCGGAUACUGACGAUCGAAUCUCAGGCAAGUAACAUACCGAAGGACAAAGGGAAUGACAUACGGGAUUAUAUGAAUCCUUGGCACUGAGGUUCAAACGAUAAGAUCUUCGUAGAAUAUGUNNNNNNNNNNUGAGUAAAGAGACUUGCCGGUAAAACAAGAUUGAAAUAGGUAUACGGAUACUGACGAUCGAAUCUCGGGCAAGUAACAUACCGAAGGACAAAGGGAAUGACAUACGGGAUUAUACGAAUCCUUGGCACUGAGGUUCAAACGAUAAAGAUCUUCGUAGAAUAUGUAGGAUCCAAUAUGGGCAUCCAGGUCCCGCUAUUGGAUAUUGACCGAGGAGUCUCUCGGGUCAUGUCUACAUAGUUCUCGAACCCGCAGGGUGUGCACACUUAAGGUUCAACGUUGUUUUAUGCGUAUUUGAGUUAUAUGGUUGGUUACCGAAUGUUGUUCGGAGUCCCGUAUGAGACCACGGACGUCACGAGGGUUUCCGGAAUGGUCCGGAAACGAAGNNNNNNNNNNNNNNNNNNNNNNNNCUGUUCGGAGUCCCGGAUGAGAUCACGGACGUCACGAGGGUUUCCGAAUAGUCCGGAAACAAAGAUUGAUAUAUAGGAUGACCUCAUUUGAUUACCGGAAGGUUUUCGGAGUUACCGGGAAUGUACCGGGAAUGACGAAUGGGUUCCGGGAGUUCACCGGAGGGGGGCAACCCACUCCGGGGAAGCCCAUGGGCAUUUGGGGGGGUCACACCAGCCCUUAGUGGGCUGGUGGGACAGCCCACCAAUCCCCUAUGCGCCAAGAGAGAAAAAAUCAAAGGAAAGAAAAAAAGGGAAGAAGUGGGAAGGGGGAAGGACUCCCUCCCACCAAACCAAGUAGGACUCGGUUUGGGGGGGAGAGUCCUCCCCCCUGGCUCGGCCGACCCCUUGGGGAUCCCUUGGACCCCAAGGCAAGGUCCCCCUCCCUCCUCCUAUAUAUAUGNNNNNNNNNNGCAACCCACUCCGGGGAAGCCCAUAGGCUUUUGGGGGACACACCAGCCCUUAGUGGGCUGGUGGGACAGCCCCAAGGGAGCCUAUGCGCCAAGAUAAGAAAAUCAAAGGAAAAGAAAGAAAAAAGAGGGAAGAAGUGGGAAGGGAGGGGGACUCCUCCCACCAAACCAAGUCCAACUCGGUUUGGGGGGGGAGUCCUCCCCCCCCUUGGCUCGGCCGACCCCUUGGAAGUCCCUUGGACCCCAAGGCAAGGUCCCCCUCCCUCCUCCUAUAUAUAUGGGGCUUUUAGGGCAGAUUUGAGACGACUUUCUCACGGCUGCCCGACCACAUACCUCCAUAGUUUUUCCUCUAGAUCGUGUUUCUGCGGAGCUCGGGCGGAGCCCUGGUGAGACAAGAUCAUCACCAACCUCCGGAGUGCCGUCACGCUGCCGGAGAACUCUUCUACCUCUCCGUCUCUCUUGCUGGAUCAAGAAGGCCGAGAUCAUCGUCGAGCUGUACGUNNNNNNNNNNNNNNNNNNNNNNNNNNNNNNNNNNNNNNNNNNNNNNNNNNNNNNNNNNNNNNNNNNNNNNNNNNNNNNNNNNNNNNNNNNNNNNNNNNNNCUUCGUGCGCGUAGGAAUUUUUUUGUUUCCCAUGCGACGUUCCCCAACAGUGGCAUCAUGAGCUAGGUUCAUGCGUAGAUGUCUUCUCGAGUAGAACACAAAAGGUUUUGUGGGCGGUGAUGUGCGUUUUGCUGCCCUCCUUAGUCUUUUCUUGAUUCCGCGGUAUUGUUGGAUUGAAGCGGCUUGGACCGACAUUACUCGUACGCUUACGAGAGACUGGUUUCAUCGUUACGAGUAACCGCCUUUGCUCAAAGAUGACUGGCAAGUGUCGGUUUCUCCAACUUUAGUUGAAUCGGAUUUGACCGAGGAGGUCCUUGGAUGAGGUUAAAUAGCAACUCAUAUAUCUCCGUUGUGGUGUUUGCGUAAGUAAGAUUCGGUCCUACUAGAUACCCUUGGUCACCACGUAAAACUUGCAACAACAAAAUUAGAGGACGUCUAACUUGUUUUUGCAGGGUAUGANNNNNNNNNNNNNNNNNNNNNNNNNNNNNNNNNNNNNNNNNNNNNNNNNNNNNNNNNNNNNNNNCUUGUGAUGUGAUAUGGACAGCGAUGUGAUGUGAUAUAUUGGAUGUAUGAGAUGAUCAUGUUGUAAUAGAUAAUAUCGACUUGCACGUCGAUGGUACGCAACCGGCAGGAGCCAUAGGGUUGUCUUUAUACUAACGUUUGUGCUUGNNNNNNNNNNCGUCGAUGGUACGGCAACCGGCAGGAGCCAUAGGGUUGUCUUUAUACUAACAUAUUCGUGCUUGCAGAUGCGUUUACUAUUUUGCUAGGAUGUAGCUUUAGUAGUNNNNNNNNNNUGUCGAUGGUACGACAACCGGCAGGAGCCAUAGGGUUGUCUUUAUACUAACGUUUGUGCUUGCAGAUGCGUUUACUAUUUUGCUAGGAUGUAGCUUGAGUAGUAAUAGCAUAAGUAGCACGACAACCCCGAUGGCAACACGUUGAUGGAUGAUCAUGGUGUGGCGCCGGUGACAAGAAGAUCGUGCCGGUGCUUUGGUGAUGGAGAUCAAGAAGCACGUGAUGAUGGCCAUAUCAUGUCACUUAUGAAUUGCAUGUCAUGUUAAUCCUUUUUAUGCACCUUAUUUUGCUUAGAACGACGGUAGCAUUAUGAGGUGAUCUCUCACUAAAAUUUCAAGACGAAAUUGUGUUCUCCCCGACUGUGCACCGUUGCUACAGUUCGUCGUUUCGAGACACCACGUGAUGAUCGGGUGUGAUAGACUCAACGUUCACAUACAACGGGUGCAAAACAGUUGCGCACGCGGAACACUCGGGUUAAGCUUGACGAGCCUAGCAUGUGCAGACAUGGCCUCGGAACACAUGAGACCGAAAGGUCGAGCAUGAAUCGUAUAGUUGAUAUGAUUAGCAUAGAGAUGCUUACCACUGAAACUAUUCUCGACUCACGUGAUGANNNNNNNNNNNNNNNNNNNNNNNNNNNNNNNNNNNNNNNNNNNNNNNNNNNNNNNNNNNNNNNNNNNNNNNNNNNNNNNNNNNNNNNNNNNNNNNNNNNNGGAGAGGAUCCAGCGCUACUCACAAGUUAGCAGUAGCUCCGGUGCGGAUCCAGCGCUACUGCUAGAUUUAGUUAACCGGCUAACUCGAUCACCUCUCCCCCACUCCUUCCCUCUCCGUUCGACCGGCCCUCUCUCCCUCUCGCCUGUGAUCCAGCGCGCUGCUUCUUCCCUCUCCGCCACUGACUCCCUCCAAGUGUCGUCGUGCCACCUCCACACGUCGCCGCCCCUCCAAGCGCCGCCGGGCCACCUUCAUGCGCCGUUGUUCGACCACCUCCCCUCCCGCUCCGGUAAGCCCCCCGCCCCCUCCUCCCUACCGCCUCGCUCGCCCACCCUAGCACCACACCGCACGCCUCCCCCUGUCGUGGACGCCCCCGUUGACCGUGGACGCAACAUUUUCACCUAAAGUUUGUUCAAAGGUUAUUCAAUCCAUCUAAAGUAAUAUAUGUGGAUAGGAGAUAGUAGUAGUGUUUAUCAGUAAUUUUGGUAUGAGGAUCUACCAAUGCAUCUAGGGGUUAAGAGACUUAGUGAAGAUGGGGUGGUUGCUGACCUAGGGCAUGUAAGAAUGUUUGGGGGGAAUUUUUGCAAUAUGGUUAGGCAUGAGAGGUUGUUCAUAAUAUUCUCUGUUUUACCCCAUCUUUUGUACUUGUUCAUUGUUGCUAUAUCCUAGUGGCCUAUGUUUUGUCGGAAUGUUGAUUCAUUUCCGUUCCGGAAAAUUUCAAACGCUCCAUAUAUCCACUUUUUAGUAAAUGUCAUGCCCAAAUUUUUUCUGUUUUAGGAAAUGUCUGACGACGAAGGGGAAUUCGUUAUGUGCGAAUACUGCCAAGACAAGCGCGGCCUUUGCGACACGCCUUGCCUAGUUGAUGAUAGGCGCUUCAGCAUCAUGCUGGAUGAGGACUUUGAAGUGGAUACAGUAAGUCACAACGACAAGUCCACUUGAUAGGCUUGAAAAGCAUCUUUGUAUGCGAUGGUGCUCUUCCAGAUCUCUGUAUGGCAGUUGGUCUCUUUUUUUUCCGACAUUGCUAUGGUGGUGUCGGAGGAUAUUUGUGGACUAUGUUUCGAUGAGGCACAAGUUUCUUCAAGGAUGAAAUAGUAAUUUUACUUCAUGUGGAACUCUUUGUGCAAAGUUGUUGACAAGCAUGUUUAUCUCUUAUGAUGACCAUAUGUGUAAUUUUUGUGAACAAAUUAUCUAAUGAAAUACUCCCUCCAUCCGGAAAUACUUGUUUUAAAAAUGAAUAUAAUGAAUGUAUCUAUAACUAAAAUAAGUCUAGAUACAUUUAUCUUUAGGAUAAUUAUUUCCGGACGAAGGUAGUACGAUGUUGCUUAAAAAAGACGCCCAUCGAAUUCAGAAAGAGACAAUACCAAAAGGCUAAAACUGGAAAGACGAUACCUCCUAAAAGUGCCAAAACUAGAAGGAUCAGCAAUCCCCACUCAUGUGCAAUAAACAGUCUAGAACUUCGACUCUUCUUAACGACAUAAACAAUAAUUGAGCCUGAAAGAUUGGCAUCGCCGCCCGACAAAUGAAACAAUGAACUCUCACUCACCAUGUACUCUUGCUUCAGUUGAGCGCCGUGGGAAAGCUCAAUCAGCAAAGCUAAUCAAAGCGUUUUUAGAACGUACCACCACACCUUUUGAUGGCAGCUAGGGCAUGUUGAAGCAUUUAUAUUGAUUUUUUUUCUUCAAUGCAACCUAUUACUAGUGGGCAUCAUCAAGGGGAAAAAAACUCUGAUCUACAUGCAUCUCUAUUUUUUACUUUAACUUUUCAGCUUUUUACAUCGAAUUACAUCUUUUCUUCCUAAGCACCGCCUCUUGCUGGAUCCCGCUACACCAUCCGAGACCAUACACGAUCCUACAUGGCAUGUGGGACAUCAUUUUGAGGCUAUGCAUUGGGCAUGCACUUAUGCCCUUGAUUGCAUCACACCAUACGGAGCACACAUGAAGGAUGGGAAGACUUUCGCCGACAAGCAAAGUGGACUCGGGUAACACGGUGUAUACACCGACACUGGGGGCUAAUUUUUGUGUUAUGACCCUUUUAUGAAAAAUGAUCGAGAUCUAACCUAGUUUGUAAAAAAAAUAGGUUCUGAUCAUUUUCCUAUCAUCGGGAUCCAUGACGAUAAGGUACAACGGCCUACCGCCGGGGUCCAUGACGAUAGAGUAUAGCAACCUACUGUCAAGGUUCCUCGCAGUAGGGAUGUACGCCCUACCGUAAAAAUUUCCUAAGCAUCGGAUACAAUGCGUGUUCGCACCUACAGUCGAGCACCUCGAUGAUAGGGUUGUAUAGACUACCGUCAACUUAUUUGACGAUAGAGGUGCGUCGCGCUCACUUUAAUAAGUUUUCUACGGACACCGAUGGUAGGAAAAAAAGUCAGAUCUCAAAAUUUUUACAAACCAGAGUCAGAUCUCGCUCAACUUCUGUAAAAGGGUCAAAAGGCAUGGAUUGUUUUCUCGGACAUCUGAUACGCGUGUGCUUUAAAGCAUCUAUAGUCGGACCCCUCCUAUCCAUCUCAAACGUCCGGGUAGGCUAUCCGGUUACUAGUCGUUCACAAAAAAUCAAUCUCUAAUAUGAAGACGGUAUGAGGGCUCGCAAACGCGCCCGGGCACGCCCGAUCAGUCCGCCACCUCGGACGUGACCCCAUUCCGGACCACCUUUUCUCUUUGUUUAUUUAUUAUUUCAUUAUUUAUUUCUCUCCCUUCUUCAUCAAUCACGUGCAACUGAUCGGACAGAUGAGGAAAAAUAUGAUUAUACGGAUGAAAAAAUAGAGGCUCAAAAUGAACACGCUCGGUCACUGACCGGACGCGUCCACGAAUGCUUGAGGAACCGGAUUUAGAGCAAGUAUAAUAAGAUACAGACAACAGGCUGUAAGGAUUAAAAUACUAUAUUUUUGCUGAGUUGGAUGAGAGAGAAGAGGAGAGAGAAGGGAAGCGGGCUCUUCGUGAAGAGUCAGCUCUAGCACGUGCUCCUAGGUGCUUUGUGAGAAUGAAAGGUGAGCCAUAUAUGAUAAAAGUAGUACUCCCUCCAUCACAGUUUAUAAGGCGUGCACGCGUACUUAGGUCGUCAAUUUGACUUAUAUAAAAUAUAUUGUUUAACAUAAAAAAUAUAUUAUUAGAAAAUAGAACAUCUAAAGUUUCUAAUGAUAUAUUUUUUGUAAUAUAUGUCUCUUAUUAAAUUGAUCAAAUAAACGACCUAGAUACACGUGCCGGACUUAGAGCAUCUCUAGUGGAUGGUGUAUAUUUGAACGUGUAUAUCUUCAUAUACACGUCCAUAUACACGGCGUGGAAAUUAUACACGUCCUAGUUUUUCAGUGAAACGUGUAAAUUAGGACGUGUAUAUUCCCCUCAUUCUUUCCCCCUCUGCAAGAUAAGAGAUUCAGUAGUGCACACAGGUUCAGAGAACAAGACAGGGGAGCUUCGCCGCAUUGCAGCCGUCUCCCUCGUCGCCGGCAGCCUUCCCCGUGGCAUCCAAGAUGUCCAUGGACUCGAGGGUGCCUCCCUCGUUCCAUUCCCAUCGCUAGGGUGACCGGUGGGCCACCACAGCGACGGCACCAACCUCGUCUCCGACGAGUACCCGGAGCCAAAGCCCUGCAGCAGGAGGAGGAGCCCCCGUGCUCCAGCCAGCCAUUUCGGCGCCCGACGCAGCCCCUGUCCCGGCCUUGCCUGAGGAGGAGCAGCAACUGCGGGGCGGACGGGAACCCUAGAGGCCUCGCACCUCCGAGAUCCGUCCGAACUGGGGGUGAGGACGGCGCGGCCGGGCCGCAAGCGGCGUGGGCGGGACGGGCAGGCGUCCGGGCACAGGGAGCCCUGGCCUUGCUUCUCAGGGAGGAGGAGGCGGCGGUGGGCCGGCGGGCGGCGGUGGGCCGGCGGGCGGCGGCCGGAGGAAGGGGGAGGGGAGACCGGAGGCGGCUGCGCGGCCUUGCUCCUCAGGGAGGAGGAGCCCCCUACUCCAGCGCCACCGCCAGCCCGCACCCCGCAGCGNNNNNNNNNNNNNNNNNNNNNNNNNNNNNNNNNNNNNNNNNNNNNNNNNNNNNNNNNNNNNNNNNNNNNNNNNNNNNNNNNNNNNNNNNNNNNNNNNNNNNNNNNNNNNNNNNNNNNNNNNNNNNNNNNNNCACGACGAGUAGCCUCGUGGAUGGACGUGUAUAACUUCCACGCCCGUAUACACGUUCCACUGGGAGGCAUUUUUCUGUUAGCAACGUGUAUAUUUACCAUCCACCUCCAUAUACACCAUCCACUAGAGAUGCUCUUAUAAACUGAAACGGAGGAAGUACUUUUUUAUAGCUAACUAUUGUACAAGCUAGCUAUAAGAUUGACUAUAAGAUGGCUUAUAGCCAGCAGUUGACUAUACUGUUAACCAUGCUCUUACAAGUUCCAUCCGUAGAUGCUCUAGGCAUGGCACGACGACGUAUGUCGUUGGGACAGUCUUAGAGCAUCUCUAGUGGAACGUGUAUACACCUUGCUAAAUUUUACACCUCCCAGUUUUUCAGUGGAACGUGUAUACAGGACGUGGAAAUCAGGACGUGUAUAUUCCAACGGCUAUAUUUUCAAACGGCUAUAUUUUCAACGGCUAUAUUUUCAACGGCCAUAUUUCUGGUCUAUAUAAACCGCCCCAAUCACCUCUCUUCCAGCAUUUCUAGUUGUGCCUCAUCUUCUCACUUCUAGAUUUCUCUAUCGUCUCUCACACAACACAAUGAACACAUUCUCUUGGGACAUGAGUUCUUCAUCAUCUUCAUCGGGCGACGAUGAACUCAUACUUGCGGCAUUAGCCGAUCGCGAGGAGGAAGAGAGGAUGAACACUCGACGCCAUGGCGGUUCCAUGCAUGGACGUCAGUCAAUCGAUCGAGGAAGAGAUGCCGGAUUUCUUCUUCUCUGGAACGACUAUUUCAAAGAAGUUCCUCGCUUUUCCGAACAUUUGUUUCGACGAAGGUUCGUAAUUAGUACACUUCUCUGCUUUGGUUCUUUUUUCAUUUCCCCGUCUCAUUGACUUUUUAUGCAUAGAUUUAGGAUGUCGCGUACUUUGUUCAACCGCAUAGCUGAUGGUAUACUUGAACAUGACUAUGAUGGUUAUUUUACGCAAAAAAGAAGUGCUUCUGGAGCUCUUGGGUUACAUCCUCUACAAAAGAUGACCGCGGCAAUGCGGAUCCUCACAUAUGGAAUAGCAACUGAUGGUGUUAAUGAGUACAUCGGGUCCGCUGAGGCUACUAAUUUAGAGUCUUGCAAGAAAUUUGUGAUCAAAGUUUGUGAAGUUUCUGAGGAAAAGUACAUGAGAUCUCCAAAUGAAGAAGACAUUGCUAGGUUACUUGCAAUAGGUGAGGAAAGAGGAUUACCUACAAUACUGCCAGUGAUAUGCACAAACAAUACAGAAGUGAGAACACGAAUUGUUCUCCUUGCCUACAAUAUUGCCAGUGAUUGAUUCCCCCCAUAAUUCACUUCUAUUGCAUUCUUGAAGCAGCAGCAGCGGGUUCNNNNNNNNNNNNNNNNNNNNNNNNNNNNNNNNNNNNNNNNNNNNNNNNNNNNNNNNNNNNNNNNNNNNNNNNNNNNNNNNNNNNNNNNNNNNNNNNNNNNNNNNNNNNNNNNNNNNNNNNNNNNNNNNNNNNNNNNNNNNNNNNNNNNNNNGUGCGCCCCAGACCUCUCUGGAAUGGAAAAUAGAAGGGAGGGAGAGAGCUUACCAGAGGGGAGUGGUCGCCGGCGAGCUUCGAUGGCCUUUGGACGGAGGCGGGAGCAGCUUGUUUCCCUUUCCACUAGCGUGGCCGAGCCGUGUGUAUUUGCACGAGAAGUAGCGUUGUGGAUGGACAUGUAAAACUUCCACGUCCGUAUACACGAUCCACUGGGAAGUGUUUUUCAGUUUUCAUAGUAUAUAUUUAGUUUUCAUAGUAUAUAUUUACCAUCCAUCCGUAGAUGCUCUAACAAGUUCCAUCCGUAGAUGCUCUAGGCAUGGCACAACGACGUAUGUCGUUGGGACAGCCGAACGACAGGCGUGUGGCGCAGUCAGGGGGUGGGGUGCCUAGAGAGGCCUACACGCCGCGUGAACCCCAGCUUUUCCGUUGUUGGGCGAACCCCUCCGCCCCUCACCACCGAAGGAGCCCUCCGGAAAAGGCCAACUCCGGGAGCUUUCCUUUGCCCCCCACGCCACGCGGAAAGCGAAAGAGGUUAGCUAGCUUUCCAGCUCCAAAGUUGCAAGUGCGACGCCGCCCGCCCAUGGGUGGACGGACGGGUGGCGGCCUUCAGGUUCAGGUUUAGGCGGGCGGCCACCGGCCUGGCCGGUGAGAAGGACCUGGGACGGCAUUUUUCUUUCAGCGCACAGGGGAAGAAGAAUCCCCGCGAUGCCCAUGAUGGCUCGAUUUGUCAAACGCUAGCUAUAACCUAGAAAGAAAAGAAGAAAAGGAAGAAAAGGCUAAAACAGCAUGGCGAAAAUCUGAAGAGCUAAAGUCACAGGCCACAGGUCACGGAGUAGCAACACGACGCGCACCGCAAAUCUAUCUUAAAUUCCUUAGCUUGCAGGACAGCCGAUCGCCAGCCACCGGCCAAGGCGGCCAGCGGCGCUGCCGGCACGACCACCCUGGCUCGCCGUGGAUGACGCACCGUACUACCGCCGUAGUGCUAGUGUCCGCCCGUGGCCACGCAGCCGCGACCGCGCACGAGACGAGCGCAGCGAAAUGGCAUGGACGGACCCACCAACCCUAGGACCCCGAUCCGAUGGUCGUUCUCCUUCCAUCCAUCCUUGCCCCACCGACCCCGUGGCCUACUCCACGGCUGUUCCCGAGCUGGCCUCCACCCCACCCUCGGGGUCACUGCACUGUCGCUCGGCUCCGCUUACAACAAAUCCAGUAGAAAGCAACAAAGAAUUCCUCGCCUCGAGAUGCCACAUACCACCAGUGGUCGCGUGGAGCGCCACUACAGUACCAGCGGUUUUUUAAAGGUGACCAGACCAGAUCUGCCCCUGCCCAGCCUCAGAUCCAUUCCGCUUCCGCCCGCGUGAUGCACGUACGAACGAGCACGAGCAUUCUAGUGCUAGUUGCUACUAGCACUAUACCAAUACGUACUAUAUAUGUAUACUACACCCUCCAAGAUCCGAUCUGCUGGAGCAACUUAGAGCUAGAAAUCAAGCUACGAGCUACUGUAGUUAUGGACGAAGCUGCAAGAACAGAGUGUAAUAAGCAGCGACGGAGAAAGAAUAAUAAUGAUGAUACAUAUGGUGAGAGGAAUUAACUGGGGGAUUGUACAAUGGAUAUGGAUCGAGCACCACCAGCAACGACGGCCAAACAAUCAGAUCUGUCCACGCCCAACACACGCAUAACACGGAGGAGUGUCCUACUACGAAUCCGAAUGCCGAAUGUAAUAAUCAUCAACGCAACAACAACAAAAGAAGAAGAAAAAAAAGGAAGAUAAACAGCUCCAAGAACACCACCACAAAAGGAGAGGGAGCGGGGCCCUCGGAUAAAUUAAAUACUCUUGCAGGCAGCCGAUCUGCCGCGGGGGCGGGAUCUCUCAGUAGAAGGCGGCGGCGGCGGCCACGGCGGCGGUGGCGACCCACGCGGCGGCGGGGUGGACGCCGGCGGCGGCGCUGGCGGGGGUGGUGGGCGCGUCCAUGGACGGGGCGGGGGACGGGCCCAUCAUCGACGGCUCCGGCGGCGAGCUCAUGUNNNNNNNNNNNNNNNNNNNNNNNNNNNNNNNNNNNNNNNNNNNNNNNNNNNNNNNNNNNNNNNNNNNNNNNNNNNNNNNNNNNNNNNNNNNNNNNNNNNNNNNNNNNNNNNNNNNNNNNNNNNNNNNNNNNNNNNNNNNNNNNNNNNNNNNNNNNNNNNNNNNNNGGGGGAGGCAUGACCGGGGCCACGGCCGGCGGGGGAGACACCGGCGCCGGGGUCGGCGGCGGCAUCAUCGGAGGCGGGGACACCGGGGCCACGGGGGCCGGCAUCGGGGUGGCCGCCGGGGCCUGGGCCGCGGUGGCGGCGAAGAGCAUGGUCAGGGCCAGAGCCACCAGCUGGAUGCGCGCCAUUGGAGGAGUGAAGAGGAGAGCUUGAGCUUGAGCUUGAGCUUGAGCUUUGCUUUUGCUUGAGGUGGUGCUGCUGCUGGUGUACUGUAAUGGUGUCCGAGACGGUAUUGGGCCGGGAGAUUAUAAAGGGGUCGCGGACGGGGCUACGACGACGAAUUAUAUGAAGACCCAGGGGGCUCCGUGCUAAUUUCCGAUCCUGGUAGCCGUCCGAUCGACAUCCGACGGCUCGUAUGGUUGGAAAGCUUCAACUCUUUUUUCUUCCCCAAACUUCUGACUUCUGAACAGCAAGCAAGUUUCAGAAAAACAAGCUAAAUCCCAACAGCUGGCGGAGAUCAUGUCAUUUGGUUCACGGGAAAUUCUCUCGCGAUAUAAGAGUCUGGUGAUUAUUUGCUUUCCUUUUUUUUGUCAUGGUUCACGCGUAAUUCUGGUCGACGGUGAGCUGGGUUUCCUUCCUGUUCCGUCUUGCCUAAUUUUGUCUUGGGGGUUUGAAAAUCGUGUGCAUAAUCCCACCCCUAUCUUCGGUUCAUGGACCCGAUCAAUUAGUCCAUUGCAGAUAUUUGCGGUAAAAUAUUAUGGACGAUCAAUGCAAAAUGGCAAGCAGCUAAUGAGCCAAUUGGCCCACGCGUUUGCAGUGUUCUUUACAACGAUAACAAAAUGUCAGACUUUAAAACAAUGUUAACUUCGAAAGUCAAAGUUUUUUUACAUGGGUGGCACACAUGCAUGUAAACGGACACGCACGCGUAAAUGUGAAAUAGCAAGUGGUAUUUGCUAAUGAGCCGACUGACCCACGCGUUUGCGGAGCUAGUGCAUCGAGUUUUUUCUACAAGAUAAUAAAAGGUCGGAUUUCAAAAACAAAGUUACUUCCAAAGUCAAAGUGCUUUUUCUCGCAAUUACGUUGGUGACGCACACGCAGACACGCACGCGCAAAUGUGAAAUAUCAAGUGCUUGUUAAUGAGCCGAUUGGCUCACGCGAUUGCGAUGUUUGUGCACUGAGUUUUCUUUACAAGGAUAAUGGAGGUCCAUUUCCAACAACAAGGUUGCUUCCAAGGUCAAGGUGCUUCUUUAUGCAGUUACAACACACAUGUAGACACGCACAUACACACACUCAGAACCUUGCAUAUUUUCGACAUUUUUCUCUUCUUUUUUGAGGGCAGGUUCAGCCCAUCAACAUGUGAAAGUAAGCACCCGUGACUGUGCAAUGUUUAGUUGAGGUAAAAGUGGAGAAAAUAACCAUCAAGUGAAUGGGGCGACUCAUUCCAAGAUGAUUUACCAAUUUUCGUGUGCGGUUUUUCCUGUAUGAUUGGAUGAAACUUGUGCGUGUCAAAUCAUCGAAUAUCGUCAUCUUUCUCACCGAAAGAUCAAUAACCAACAUUGUCUCAUCAAUUCGUGAUGUAUGGUGUUCCCUCGUAUGCAUCAUAUUUUUUGCUCUAUAAACAAAACUUACAAAACUAACAAGAGGUCCACAUUGUGUAUGUGUGCACACGCGCGGCGUGGGACAAUUAUAACAAAAAUGUCUUUCUAUAAAAUAGACAUAAAAUAGAGCUCCUUGUUUUGAUCAUUUGAUGAUAGCAUCAACCAGCUAAGAUUAGUUGCCUACAAAAUAAAUACCUUAGCAAUGAAAUGAUUGGUUUGGUGCUAAUCAAUGGAGCGCACGUUGUCCUCACCAAUUCUAUAUUGAGCCGUUGGUGAAUGAUGGGUUGCUGUCAGCGUUUCUCCAUCAAAAUCUUGGGUUUACAAAAGAACGAUACGAGAAAGUAAUCACACUAACACAGACGGUUAGGAAAACAAGAGAAAAUUCUACUGUCAAGUUAUCUCUUCCGUGUAUUCUUCAUGCACAUUUUUAUUUUAUUUUUGCACAUUGUUUGGCUUGCAAGUUUUAGUCUCCUGCCUAUUAUGUUAGCUGGAAGGAGAUAAAGUUCUUGGUCCCCGACGAAAAAUAGGUUCACUUGGGAGGACAAUGGUGUACAGCCUAACCAAACCCUUUUCAAAACCUAAAGCUCCACACGUUCAGGUUGCUCGAUUUGGUCCAUAAGGGUAUACCUAACGCGCCAAAUGUUUCCAAAACCUAAUGUGCCCCGUUUUUUUCCUUCACAAUAUCCAUCUUGUUCCACAAGAUAAAUCCAGAGAUUUCCAACCUAACCAUACCCUUCCAAAACCCAGCGCUCCACUCCUCCAACGUUCAUAUUCUUUGGACAAGAGAUACACACGAAUACACUUGUCUGGUUCCUAACCACCAUGUGGAAGAGUGUGAUUAUGCUAGUUGAUAGGCAGCUCUGAAUCAGACCGACAAUAGGAAGCCCCUAUCUGGAAGCAAGAGUUCAAAUGCAAGUAUGGACUAAUCGCAACGGCGAACGGUCCCUGCAAACUUUGGAGACCAAGUUAAUUCACGAUUUUCAGAGUAACUUUGUCGAAACUCAUGUUUCGUUCCUUAUUAAACUGGGGUCAAUAUCUAAUUAUAAGAGCAUGUUCGCUAGUUGAAUCAUUGUGCCUCCAUUUUAAGGCUUAAUUUGUGAUUGCUGAACUGUGUUGUGUUAUGAUGAUUUCAUAAUUACUAGUCCCUCCGUUUUUAAAUAUAAGUCUUUUUAGAAUUUUUAUUAGAGACUACAUACGGAUGUAUAUAGACAUACUUUAGAGUAUAGAUUAACUCAGUUUGCUUUGUAUGUAGUCACUUAGUGAAACCUCUAAAAUACUUAUAUUUAGAAAGGGGGGAGUAUGUAAAAUUAGCCACAAAAGUAGACAAAAGCGGUUUAAACGCACGCUCAGAUAGGCAAAAACAUAUUAGGCAACACAAGGUUAUCACAAACCACCACAAUACCAAACUCGGCCUAAGUAAAGCUGACUUUUUCCUAGACAAGAAAAAUGCAACGUGUGUAUGACAAUGAUGUUAGAACAAGCCAACAAAGGCAAGAACAUGAGUUUUCAUCUGGAGAUCGCCUCCAGAAAUUGAAGAUAAUACCACAAGGAGAUGACGUGAGAGCAAUGUCGACAUGUCGUUCCCACGUCUAACCAAUGAAGACUAUACCAACCAAUGGAGGCCAACUCAUUCAAUUACUAUACCACGUCUUGGCGCUCAAAAUCGAACAUCACUUGAUCCAACCAAUGGAGGCUAACUCAUUCACGACGAUUGCGACAAUGUCCGUUCAAGAUUUGGCAUGGCCCAAUGACAAGAAACCUCAUGCUAGCGUACUGGUAUCGCUCCACCAUGGAGCUUACUAGAACCGCCAAAACGCUUUGAAGGGGUCGCCCCUCCGCCCUCAUGUCGACGAUGCCCCUGCAGCCACCCCGGCUUCCAUGUCAUAAUCCACAACAUGUCAUCCUCUAACGGGCAGCCAUCACGACCGGAUAUCGACAAGAGCCCCUAACACCACUAUCGGUCGCAAGACCUUUGGUCAUGGCAUCCUCUGGCGGUGGAGGAGGGGGUUGAAGGAAGGCAUGGUAGAGAUGCUAACUUCCUUAACUACACUUUGUAUACAAUAAAGUAGAGAAAUCUCCCAAUCAAUCUUUGCGUCUAAAAAUGCACACAGCCAACGAACAUUAUUGACCUUCCGAAGGACGAUAUAAAGCCGUAUUCCCAUCGUUCUGGGCCGCCGUGAGUUGCCAACAAACAUCCUGAUCCUGCCCGAAAUGCUAUCCACCGAAUGACAUCUGAGCCGAUCCGAUUUAACAAACAGCAAGCUUGCCAAAAACAAGUCCGUUGGUCCGAUCAGAGCCUCGUCGGGUCCAUGGAAACGGGGCUGUGGCCAGGGUGGAAGAUUCCGGCCGGUCGGCCAGCCGCGGUGUAGUACAGAGCUACGUGACGCCGACGUACCAACUAAGCCAAGACAACCACCAUCUUCCGAGUGAAAUCAAAUGAGAUCGACUACGUGACGGCCGCGAACUCUGCUGGGCAGUGUGAUACAGUUCGUCGAGGUGUCGCCUCCCAUGGCCCUGUUGCACGCCCACGAAGCAUGUAGCAGUGCUGUACAGUUGUAUAAUAACCGGAGAUGCCGCGUGGGCCAAGGGGGUUAUGGUAGAGGAUGUCAUAGAGGAGCUGUGGACAGCCAGGGCUAGGCAUUUUGCUUGGCGACUCAUCAGAGUGUUUACGAAGGCAUUGACUCGUGGCAAAUGGAUGGCAAAUCUCAUGCUGCGUCAGGUAAAAAGUGGGCAUAGUUUUCUUGCCGAUUCCUGUAUGGUUUUCCAUGUUCGUUAUGGAGAAUUAUGUUCAGCGGUCGGUUGGAAGAAGGCCUUCACAUAUUCGGAAGAAAGUGGGUGUGAAAACCAGCUUGACAUAAUCAUAGACUGAAUGGGUCGUCGACAAAAUGAUUGGGAAUUUUUUUCCCAAACAAUUUCAAAAUUCCACUGUCCAUAGGUUAAUCAAAUCAGGAGGUGGUUGGUACUACUAGUACUAGCGAAGCAGCCGCUAUCACAUAAAACAAUGGCACGAGCCGAAUCAGAAAGACAGCCGCUGCUUGCAAAGCAUUGCCCCCACAACCAUAAGAUCAGGGGCCCCUAAAUAACCGGACAGCUAAGUUCGUCGAUGAUUCGCUCGUCUAAAAGGAGCUCAUCUAGCUCCGUUUCGUUGUAUUUCCUCGUGUCUGGAGCCUAAUGGGAGGUUAGUUAGGCGGUCGCCAAUGAUUGAGGAUUACCUGGCUGUGAUGGGAGGAGCUGGCUGGCCACAUUGGUGGCCUUCAGGUGAGAUGGACAUGGGAACUCCAUCACAUGCCCAUCUCAAGCACCAGCCCGGCGAUCCCUGUUGGGGAAGCUGUAGCAUUUCUCAUGCUGCACAUGUAGAAAUCUUCUGCGUGCCAACCGCUGUCGCCGUCGGCCCAGUGCGCGAUGAGCAUGGCACCGCCACUGCGUGGUCGCGAUCGCUACAGGCGGCUACAGGCAAUAACUCGGGGCAGUAUGUUAGUUCAGGGAAUUGAUGAUAUGGAAAUAACAGAACUUACCAUUAACUUAUACUCUACUAGCAUAGAUCAUGCCAGGCCACAUGACUCCAUGCUUAAAAUGUUACAAUGGGACCUUUCGCGGCAAACAGCAAAUGCACCCCUUGUAUGUUUAUUCUAGAAUGUUAUAAUGUCACAAAACACAGAUUAAGUUGCAAACGAAGGCAUUUCGGUGCCACGUUAUUAGAGGAACAAAGAGUUUGGUAGCCAUUCGCUGGGUAUUCGAAGAAUGAAAGAACAGAUAGCUAUGGGCUAGAUUCCCUCGAGACUUCUUGUCCCCGACUAAAUGGCUAGCAACUUCAGUCUACUUACAUGUGGAACAGUGGAAACAAAGUGUGCUUGGCAUGUGCUAUUAUUACACAAAGCUCUAUAUACGAGUUGCAACUAUAGCUCCCGUCGGUCGAUUUUCACAGAGAUGCGCCCGACUCCCAACUCAAGAGUUUGUCACGCUUUGCAGCAUGUUGUCUAGGGCUCAGAGAGCAAGAUCAGCAUACUGUUUUAACCAACUGACAACUCACAAAAAUGAGCCGAAACUGACAUUAUUCGUAUGCUUCCAUCAGACUGGCCAGUGCCCCUCCAAUCUAUGGCUUUGCUUUGAGCAAGAUGGAAGAGUAUGAAGCAAUUCUAUACCCGGAUCCAGUAAGUGGCACCCCUUCCGGUGUAAUAUCGUUUGGUGAUUCCAGGUUGGUAUCCACCUGCAAAAAGGACACAACAGCAGUUUCAGGCUAAUUAUCCACUAAACUUAUAGCAAGUCAGAACUAAGCCACUUGCUUCCAGAAAAUUGCAAAAAUCUGUCUUUCUUAGAAAACACUGGGGAAAAUAUCAGUAGAUUUUCCAAGCAAUUGAUGUAGUAGCAUGGGAGGAACUAGACAGUACGACCACUGAGUUACAAAAAGUUAGCAAGACAGGAAGUAUACAUACCACACGGUUCCAGCUUUUAUGAUGAGGUGCUGGGGGAAUCACAGCAUCCACAAAAUAGUCAUGGGCAUUGAAUGCCAAAUAGAUAUCUCCACCAGAAUUGUGGUCGUGUAUCCUACAUUAAUCGCCAAACAAAACAGUUGAGAAGACAAGAACUCGUAGCAACCAAACUACAACAAUACUAUCAUAUGGUCAGAAUGAAUUACACAAUAAAAACUGAAAGCCAAACUUCCUUACGUGAAUGCCAAGAAUUUGCUUUCCAAGUUAUCCCAACAAUCCUCAUGCCAGGUGACAUCAUUCUACAAUCAAGAAAGAUCAGAAUGCGAUGAAAACCUUUGGAAGAAAAUUCAAACCAAGAGUUACAUACUUGCAUCCUACAAAAGCUAGGAAUUGUCGUUUCUAACGUGCAAUGCACAAUAAGAGACCAGAUCACAUACUUAGCAAAUACUCAACAGAAACUGAUAACUGUAUUUCAGUAAAGGAAGAACUGUUUAUUUUCAAUACGCCGGUCAACUGCAAGAACACCACUAAGAAUUUGAACAUACUUUACUAAGAAACCUGUCCCGUUUCAGUAUUGGGUGGUUCUGACGAAACUUAAUCAUCUCUGAGAAAAACCUGAAAUGGCCAUAUCUUCUUUCCGCCAACUGUAUCAAACGGACAAGAGGAGAAAACAAGUUAGCAUAUAGAUGUGGCACAUCCAUAACACAUUUUGAAUGGAAAACCAAAAUAAUCAUGUAACCUGUUCCCACUGGAAAUUAUUUAUGCAGGUAUCAUGUCCAUAGCUAUUAUUGUUUCCAUAACGUGUAUGACCAUAUUCAUCUCCCAUCAACAUCAUUGGGGUGCCCUGUUACAAAAACAAAAGGUGCAAUUAGUAAUUUUUACAUUAUGCAAUACCACAUAAAAGUCCAACUGUGAAGUGAUCAAUAAUAUUUACUUGAGAAAUCAUUAAUGCCACAUGGAAGUUCUUCAUUUGUCUCGAACGCAGAGCUAACACAUUCGAAUCAUUUGUUUCUCCUGUUUAGCAACAAGAUCAAAAUAUGAUAACCUUCCAUGGUUGUAUUUUCUUCGAGAAACAGAAAGUGUGCGCUUCGAUGCAUUGAUAGAAAGAAUAGAGUAGUAACCGUAGAAGCCUAAGACUACGCCGAAGCAACCGACCACUCAAGACAAGACCACAACUACAAACAAACACAACCAAACCAACCCUGGCAUAGAUGCCAUCCGCACAAGCGGACAGAACACAACGCCCAUCACAAGAAGAGAGAAUCCAACUCUGCAAAGGGCAGAAUUGGGCUACUCCCACUUUGGAGGCAACAUAGUUGUAUUUGGUCUAUUCUUGAUACAGAAACUUCACUACUAAGAGUAGGCCAUGAGUUCUAUCAAGUGUCAAGCAUACUGCAAAAUUAAUUUUGAACUAAAAAUGCAUUUCGUGUUCUCCUUGUUCUUGUGCAAUACUAUACUUCAGUCAGAUAUCUUAAGAACGGCGGCACUGGAGAUCGCCUCUGUGUGGUUGGAUAUCGGCUCUGGCUGCUUGGGUGGUUGAGUCGUCGACCCGUUGGGUGCACGGCCUCAGGGCCAGUGUGCUGUGCUGCUGAUGUUUGUAAGCCAGAGUGGCGGCUUAGGGUCAUGUGGUAGGGUGUCGACUAGGGUCGCUUGG
Molecule: long non-coding RNA, 77572 nt
Filed under: Hordeum vulgare
Lineage: Eukaryota; Viridiplantae; Streptophyta; Magnoliopsida; Poales; Poaceae
Description: long non-coding RNA (HVUL_LNC013347)
Rfam family: MIR1120/MIR1122 microRNA precursor family (bases 63289-63412)
Source: RNAcentral